RNAcentral lists this long non-coding RNA (49951 nucleotides) under Malus domestica (apple). RNAcentral's name for it is "long non-coding RNA (MDOM_LNC014091)". Lineage: Eukaryota; Viridiplantae; Streptophyta; Magnoliopsida; Rosales; Rosaceae. The record is from RNAcentral.
CACUGCUGAAUACAGAUAGACAGUACUUAAAUAAGGGAUACUACUAAAAAGCAAUUAAUAUUAUUUCACUAUAUACAUGCAUGCCAGUAGUCUUUUGUAAUACCAUAUAUAUGUAGAAUAUUAUUAGAAAUCGUAGCAAUUAAGCUACUAGCUAGGGUUUCUCAUUCGUAUUGUGAAGGCCAAAGGAAGGCUCCCAUGGCAAACUUCCUCUUCUGGUUGACAUCCCCAAUGAGUGGGAGGCCGUACUGCUUCAUAAGGCAGUCCAGUUUCCAUUCAGGCAUGCUCUCAUAGUCACUCUUCUGGUACCUUGGGUAGUGCAGAGGCAUCUGGAAGUUGCAUGGGGUGUUGUUCUUGCUAGUUUGCUCAUUUACUUGGAGACCGCCGGGCAUGGUGAAAGCGUGGUUGCUAAAGCCAGUUCCAGUGGUACUCAUCUUCUCAAAUAUGUUGAGAAAGCUGGUAACUCAUGCAGAGUUGCUAACUUGGUAGUUGGUGUUGCAAAGUUGGCCUUUUAUAGGCAUCCCAAAGAGCAUGAUAGUGGAAGAUUACUCGAGUAUGCGCUUGAAGAUAAGACAGAGCAAUCAAGAAAACAUUUAAUGCGAUGAAAGCUAAAUCACAUUGAAGAAUGUGUGGUGACAAACUUUUGAGUGUUACACAUUCAUACUAUCAUGUGGUGUUAGCGAAAUACGUAUUAAUAUAUAUAUAUAUAUAUAUAUAUAUAUAUAUAUAUAAUACGUGUUUCAUAUUUAUAAAUCAUAGAUAAAAAUUCAUAUUUUAUGACUCAUGAAAAUAGUAUUAACAAAUAAUAUAUGUUAUACAAUAUAAGUAAAUUAAAUCAUGUGACAAUAUUGUAACCCCCACAUCAAAAAGAUUACUGAGCCAUCUUUUGGUAGAUUUUCAUGACGAAGGUAAACUUGGAUAAAUUUGGAUUCUAGGCCUCGUUUGAUAUUUAGGAUUGGGUUAGUUUGGACAAUCCAUUUCAAUGAAAGUUGAACAAAAAUAGGGAUGCCAACUUGCAUAUUUUGUUAAAUGAAGGUAGAAGAUGGAGAAAUCAUGAAGAAAACUUAUCCCUCAAAAUCCCCACAAAAAUGGUAGAAUUGAGAGGGCCAAAUUUGCUUCAUGACUUUUCUAUCUUCGACCUAGAGUAGACGGACGUUGGUUAGGUUUGAGAAGAUGAGUUUUUGGAAGAAAAUAUUUUAGGGAUAAAUUUGGGAUUUUCUGGAUCAAAUAUUUUAGUUUGGUGUAUUAAUUUAUUUAAAAAUUGGGUGCCAAUAGAGGCACCUGAAAAUUAUAGUUAGCAAAUAAAUUAUUGGACCAAAAUACUUUAUGGAACCGUUGAAUACAUGGUAAUAUUGUCAUUUGCCAAGGUGGAAGGAAUUAGUUGUGAUGUAUCUAGUGUUCCAAUAAAAUUGAUAUUGAGGAGGGAGUAAUUGUUGGAAUCAAAUUUGUGCACUAUCAUGGAUGGCGGAGGCACAAAUUAGAGUAACAUUUAAAACAGAAAAAACCGUGAGCAAGUCUAAGAUAGGGUGAGUUGUGUGUGCCAGCCAAAGGAUCUCUAACGAUCAGGUUAGUAAGCAAGUAUAAGACUAAAGCAACGGGUAAGAGAAUUAGAGAGCGAUGAUUGUGCUACCAGAGAUGAACCCUGUGUGUAUUUAUAUCAGUCGAGAAAGAGACAUUUUUAUGAUAGAAUCUUUGUGCUAAGUUGAGAGAAUCUUAGAGGAUAUCUAGAAGUAAAUAUUGUCAUCCUCUUAGAAUGUGAUUACUUGUGGCGCACGCCAAUUCCUAGAUUGUAGGAACUGUAAUACAUAUAGAGAAUAUGGUUGAUUCUGUGCUGGAUCAUAUCCUCUUAUCUUGAGGAACAAGCAUGGUCAUUCUCAACGAAGUUGCUGAAACUUCACUCACUGCUCUGGAAUAGGAUGAUGGUGGUACCACUGCUUCGUUUGAUUUAGCUCCGCUCGGAGCUGUUGAGUGCAUGAUCAGACUCCUGAGGUAAUUGUAUUCUAAUUAGCCUUAUUCGGCCCUGGAAAAUUAUAUAGUCCAACGGUAAUUAUAAAAAAAAAUAAAUAAAAAAAAAACCUCAAGAAUAAGAGCAAGCAGAUGAUCUCAAUCACUUGAGUAAUUGGCCCUUGCUGAAAUGUAUGUAGUUGUAAUACCAAGAUGCUAAUAAUGCCAAAAUAUCCUGAUAAUGCUACUAAAUGCCAACAAAAUGCUUUUCCGAACAAUUCUGAUAUAUUUUCUUCCCUGAUAUCAUAGCAACUUGAUCAAUGUCCCUCUUUCAAUAAAUCCCUGGCCUUGGCCAGUUGUUCCUCUAUGCCAAAAUUGGAAUAAGUCCUCACAACUAUUCAAUGAUCAAGUGCAAAUGUUGAGCAUAUGUCGCCCAAUGAUGAGGAUGCCAAAGCUCCAGUCCAUUUUUAAUGACAUAUAAUUGUUAUAGCUAGUUAUACUUAUGCAUCACUUGAUGAAUUCAGAUAAACAACAGCCAAUCAAUCUCACUCAAAUCGUUAAUUUGUCUAUCGGAAAAUCAAUGAAGCGCAACAACAUUGCAUUGCAUUGCAGCCAGAAGAAUCGAUCUGCCAUCUUUUUCUCAACCCUAGCAAUUUGAAUCGAUCUGAGUGGAUAAACUGUGUGCGUGCUCCCGGACGCAAGAAAAUGAUCUAUAAUCUAUGAUCUAUCCUUGUCUCUAGCAAACCGAAUCGAUUAAGGCAAAGGGACCCGAAACACAAGUGGGCUUAACUAGUUAUAAGAAAGUCAAAGUAUUUGGAUGUUCACAACGAUCACCAGAUCAUGAAAAGACAUAUUUCAUGCUCAUUAGGGCAGCUGGAGCAUUCUAGUUCUACGAGUGAAAUGAUACAAGGUUAUUAUUGAUCCACAUCAAUCUCAGGUUGUGGAGUUGAAACGUCAUGCAUGCAUGGUGGGCAUGGGAUUGCAGGAAGGUGACUGACUGGAUAAAAAUGAAAUAGAAGGGUACUGAUUAUUUUCUGUGUCCGAAUUUGUGUGCCGUGGAUGAGAGGUCAUGUGUUAUUUUCAUAUUUAUUGAGAAAACCUAAUGUGAAGAAACUUCAUGCCAAACCCACUUCACCUAAGAUGGCAUCUAAUAGGAUUUUCACCAUCUGCAUACUCAGGGUUAAAUCCCAUAGAGUACUUGCAAGAGAAUAAAGUUAUUGUAGUAUAACGGCUCAAGCAAAGACGAUCUUCAUAGAAACUGAGAUGAAUAUUUUGUGUUUAAGUACAAUUCUUAUUUAACUAUUUAAUACAAGAUUAAGAAAGAUGAGAAUAUUGAAUAAAAGUAACAAGUGCAAAUAAAGAGAAAUAUUACAAGCUAAAAAUAAUAAUUGUAAAAAUAGCAAUCCAAAAAGUUUAAUAAGCAUUAGGGUUCAGCCGUCACCAGUAAAAAUCCUAUGUAGUUCUAUUAAUUACUUUUGCGUCAACACAUGCAAACUUUCAGCUUAGGUUUUCCUUAUGCAUAUUCCACUCGUGACAUUCAAGUUAGAACGUAUAUCCAAUAUGCAAUGCGUAAUUUGACAUUCACAUAAAAAAUCAACAUGCAAGACUCGUUAAAUUUUGUGAGAGCCUUAUAAAAAACCAGGGUAACCUUAAGAGCAUGACACUCACGUGAACAUACAAUUUCCAACCACAAGAAGCAUUAACCAAUUUCAGGCUGACAUUCCAAUAGGAAUUGCAUCCGAUUACUUGUCUAAACAUCUUAAUAGCGAUAAAGUGUUAAGACAUAAAGAUAGUUUAAAACAGUGAUUGAAAAUUCAAAGUAAGCAUAUAUAACAAUAUAAGUAAGUUAAAAAGAAACUAUAUAUUCAUGUUAAAACUCGUAACCUCGCCCAAGCAAAAGAGUUAAUUAGAAAUAAAACAUAAUGGAAUAUCAAAAGUUUUCUUGUGUUGGGAUCAAUAUUCUAACAAAUGCAAGGCACUAGUCGAGCGAUGGGUUGGGGCUAGGCGGGAGCCUAGGCGGAUUUGAAUAAUUUAUUAUAUAUUAUAUAAACUAAUUAAAUUUGAACAUUAAAUAAUAUGUUAUUUUUCAAAAAGGUGAGAGUUUUAGCCUUUUAGGUACAUAAUAAAAAUAUAUGUGGUGUGAUCUUAAAUAGGGUAAUAAAACCCCAUAAAAACAAACAUAAAAAAGUGACAUUUAAGAGAGAAAAAAAUAGUAAAAAAAGAUGGUGGGACCAUCUUAAGAAAAAUCAUGCAAUUAAAAAUUUUAAAUGAUGUUGGGAAUAGGGUUGUCUCCUUCCUUGCACGAGGUUGACUCUGCAACAAAAGAUUUCCAAAUUCCGACGCUUACAUAUAAUCCCGCCUAGCUUCCGCCCAUCCCAGCCUAGACUUGCCUAACUCCACUUUAUCCGGCCUGGGCGUCCGCCCAAUGUGCUUUCCGAUUUUGUGGCUGAUCAUGAGUUAAAUCGCGGCAGCCUACUUGAUCUAGCACCUAGGCAGCCGCCUAGGCUAAUUUUUUGAACACUAGGUGGGAUCUUAGUUUAGUUCGUUGAAUUCUGGUAAAGCGGACACUCUCCAAACUACAAGCACUGGGUAGAGACAAGAUUCUAUAUUUCAAGGAUAUUGCGAUACACAAGUCUCGAACUUUAUUCCAUUUGUUUAAUUUCAGUUUGUUUUAUUCAAAUUGUAUCCAUGUAUAUAGUUGUAAUUUAUUGUUCAUUAGCAUAUAAUUUUGGGUACAUAUAUUUCAAAUUUAUUUCUGCAAUAUAUUAAAUUUGUGAUUGAUUGUUGAUACUUAUCUAACAUCUUGAACACGUGCUUCAUAAUGAUCAUCUCGGUUGAGGUAUAUUUGCAACCAACAAGUAAUUGUGUACACAAAGAUGGUUUUCAUCCAAUAAAAUUGGGAUUCAAGUCAAAUUUUUAAGUUGUGCUCAUAGUUACCGCAGUUUCGGUCACUUUUGGGGGACAAUAUUCUCGACGUUAGGAGGAGAAAUGAUAGUUUUCAAAGAACGCCGAGAAUUAGCGUUGAUACAUGUGCAUUUGUCUCAUCCAAACUAUAUAUGAGUUAGAAGGGACUAUGAUGAUUAAUCUAUUGCAUGCCUAAAGCAUGACAGAUAUAUAAGUUCUAAACUUUGAACUCUCUGUAAGUGGAGAUUAAUUAAGUUCAAGUCCUAAUUGAAAAUAACUCUCCGUAGGAGGGCAUAUCCAAGUAAUUCAUCUUAAGAUAUUUGUCCUAGAUGUAACAAUGGAAGCCCCAAAGAGUCAUUGUACCCAAGCAAUGGAAUACUUAUAUAUUAAGCAUGCCAAUGAGAAUUGUUAGGUCACAAAUUGAUGAUAAUCAAUAAUUAUUAUAAUAGCUAAUCAUAUCAUGAAGGACUAUUUAGUCACGUUUUCCCAAAAAUAUCGACAAAGUAAAGGGUGGCCAAAACUAGAAAGAGAUAAUUCCAUUUUGAGCCACUGAAAAACGUGAAAUCAAUGAACCUAUAAUUUAAACCCCAAAUUUAUUCUUGCGUGUGUGUAAUAAAAAUAAAUAAGCCCACUAAUAUGGCAUAAGACUUUGUAAUAUAUUUCAUUAUAGAUGCAAUCACAUUUCUAGAAGUACAGUGUUAAUUUAGACGUGAGACUUAUCACUUUGUGGAGAUUGCAUACUAACCAUUUGAGAUUUUAUCUCUCAAAGUAAUUCUUACAGUAUGAAAAUGCCAUGAAAUUCUUUAUCAAAGUUCUCAAAUGAAGUUCCUAAAUUUAUUUGAUUACAUUAAUGCAAGACUACAGUUAAAAAUUUAUAAUGUAUUGUUGAAUACUUUAGAAAUUGUAGUAAAGCUAGUGUUUCUGCUACUCUCAUUCAUGCUGGGAAGGCCAAAGGAAGGCCCCCAUGGCAAACUUCCUCUUCUGGCUGACACCUCCAAUGACUAGGAGACCGUACUGCAUCAAAAAAUAGUCCAGUUUCCACUCAAGCAUGCUCUCAGAGUCUCUCUUCUAGUAUCUUGGGUAGUGUAGAGGCAUCUGGAAGUUGCAUGGGGUGUUGUUCUUACUAGUUUGCUCAUUUCCUUGGAGGUCGUUGGGCAUGGCGAAUGUGUGAUUGCUAAAUCCAGUUUCAGUGGUACUGAUAAACCCUCAAUCAACCUUAAUACAAGAAGCCAUGAAAGAACUCGAAGAGAGAGAGAGAGAAAGAGAGAGAUAUAGACAAAAGGAUUUCAGUAUUAUUCAUAAUCGUUUUCUGUUUUCUUACAAACCUCACUAUAUAGUUUCUGUUCUCUAACUAUUCUUAUCUAAUUACAACUAUACCAAUAACCUCCUAACAACCUUAUUACACUAAUCCCACUCAAUUAGUCAAUUGAUGCCGGUCACAACCCCACUUAGCUACUAGUAAAUCUCAUCAGAAUCGUAACAUUACUCCCCCCUUUGAAAUGAGCCUUGUCCUCAAGGCUGUAAGUCAGGAACGGAGUCAAUCUGCGUUCCCAAAAGAGCCUCCGAUGUUGAGUCAUUUUGUAUCAAGUCAACAUCCUGAACAGAUGGUAAUGAAAUAGUAGGAACAACUGAAGUCCCUAAUUUCUUUUUGAGACAGGAAACAUGAAAGACUAGAUGAAUCUUGGAAUGACUUGGAAGUUUCAACUUAUAUGCCACAGAACCCACGCGAGUCAGAAUCUCAAAGGGACCAUAGAAGCGAGGAUGUUUAUGGAAAGGAUGCAAAGCUAAAGAUUUUUGGUGAUAGGGAACCAACCUGAGAUAAACAAAAUCCUCUACAUUAAAUGAUCGUUCAGUUCUGUGCUUGUUGGCUUGAGUUAUCAUCCGUUCUUGAGCAGCUGCCAAGUUAGUUUUCAAGAGUGAUAAAACUCGGGUUUUCUCUUUCAAAUAGUGAUCCACCAUAUCAACCUUUGUCGUGCCUGAUUCAUAGAAUGGAACAUAUGGUGGUGACUGACCAUACACCACUUCAUAAGGUGUCAUUUUAGCUGCGGAAUGGUAUGAUGUGUUGUAGCUCCAUUCUGCCCAAGGAAGCCAUUUCAACCAUUGCUUGGGUUGUAAGCUACAGAAACAUCGGAGAUAGGUUUCCAAACAUCGAUUUAGAACUUCAGUCUGGCCGUCAGUUUGAGGAUGGAACCCGGAGCUAAAACAAAGCUUAGAACCUUGGAGUUUAAAAAAUUCUCUCCAAAAUGAGCUGAUGAAAACGGGGUCUCUAUCAGAUACAAUAGAGGAAGGCAUGUCGUGCAAUUUGAAUAUUUGAUCAGUGAAUAUUUGGGCCAUUGAAUGAGCUGUAUAUGGGUGAGCUAAUGGUAAAAAAAUGGGCAGCUUUUGAGAAUUUGUCGACAAUGACAAAGAUAACCGAUUUACCUUUGCAAAGAGGAAGCCCUGUGAUAAAAUCCAUAGCUAUAUCAGACCAAAUUCUCUGAGGAAUAGGAAGUGGAUGAAGAAGUCUAGCAAGAGAAAGUGUUUCAUACUUAUUCUUCUGACAGAUAUCACAUUUAGCAACCAUUUCCUUGAUAUUGUUCUUCAUACCCUCCCAAUAAAAAGAAUGAGAUAUCCGCUUAUAGGUCUUGAGAAAACCUUCAUGUCCUACAGAUGGUGUACAAUGGUGUUCUUCAAAUAGUUUAAGUCGCCAUGAACUUGUAGGACUGAGAACAAUCCUAUUUUUAUACUUCAAAAACCCAUUAUCAAUCUGAUAUUUAAGCAAGUUCAAGGUGCAGAAUCUGAGGGUGUUUGUACAACAGCCUGAGACUUCUGUAUGAUCCAGUCAUCUCUUUCAAUGUGUCGUCGUAAAUCAUCCAUCCAAGACAUAUAAGGGUACAACAAUGCGAGUAGCAUACUAUUGACAUCGAGACAUUCCAUUGGAACUGUAACACUAUUACUCUGAUCACUGCCCACAACUAGACUAGAAACUAUAGCAAGGUCAACAUUAGGAUGAGCUACUGUACUAACCCGAGAUAAAGCAUCAGCUGCUCUAUUUUCACUGCCCUUCUUGUAUUGGAUUUCGUAAUCAAAUCCAAGUAAUUUGGAGACCCAUCGUUGUUGGAUAGGCGAAUUAACUCUGUUUUGAAGAAAAUACUUGAGACUAUGGUGAUCGGACUUGAUAAUAAAGUGGUUCCCAAGCAAAUAGAAUUGCCACUUUUUAACUGCAUGCAACACAGCUAACAUCUCUCUUUCAUACGUAGACAAUGCUCGAAUUUUUUGGUCCAAGAGCUUGGCUAAGAAAUGCAAUAGGUCGACCUCCUUGCUGCAGUAUUGCUCCAAUUCCAGUACCCGGUAUCAGUCUCAAUAAUAAACGGUUUUGAAAAAUCGGGAAGUGCCAAAACCUGAGGAGACAUCAUUACAGUUUUGAGUUCCAGAAAUGCAUCAGUGGCUGCACAACUCCAAGUAAAGUUAUUCUUUUUAGUGAGUUGAGUCAAGGGUGCACUGUUUCUUCCAAAGUGAGGAAUAAACUUCCUAUAAUACCCAAUUAAUCCAAGAAAACCCCUUAAGGCUUUCACCGAAGUAGGCAGAGGCCAAUCUGCAAUAGCUUUCAAUUUUGAAGGGUCAGCAGCGACUCCAUUCUGAGAAACAACAUGGCCCAAGUAUUCGAUUUGAGUUUGUCCAAAAGCACACUUGGACAUUUUCACAAACAACUGAUGAUCGUGGAGUAAACUGAGGGCAAGACUCAAAUGAUGCAAGUGUAAUUCCCAAGAGGCACUAUAUAUGAGAAUAUCAUCAAAGAAAACUAAGAUGAACUUCCGCAAAUAAGGCCUAAAAAUCGUAUUCAUCAGACUCUGGAAUGAUGCAGGGGCAUUUGUGAGACCAAAAGGCAUAACAAGGAACUCAUAAUGCCCUUCAUGAGUUCGAAAAGCAGUAUUCUCAAUGUCUUUGGGGUGCAUACGGAUUUGAUGAUAACCAGACCUAAGAUCCAAUUUGGAGAAAUAUUUGGCACCAAAAAGUUCAUCCAACAAUUCAUCAAUUAAUGGUAUAGGAUACUUGUCCUUGACGGUAAUUAAGUGGAGUGCCCGAUAAUCCAUGCACAUCCUCCAAGUACCUUCUUUUUUCUUCACCAAGAGCACUGGAGAUGAGAAAGGGCUAUGGCUUGGCCUUAUAAAACCAGAUUCUAAAAGCUCCUUGACACACUUCUCGAUUUCAGUUUUUUUAAAAGGACCAUACUUAUAAGGUCUAGCACUCGGAAGCUUGCUUUCUGGCAACAAUGAUAUCCUAUGAUCAUGGGAUCUUGAUGGAGGUAGGCCAGAUGGAGAUUGAAAAAUAGGCUGAUACUGUGCUAACAGCUUGCAGAUCAUUUUCUUGGAGGGAAGUCAACUGAGAGUGAUUGGUUGGACUGGAGUUUUCUGCACUAACUUGUAAAACAAAUAGGGCAGCGCCUAAGCAAUGAUCCUGAGUGAGUAACUUGUCCAUUUGUAAGGAAGAAAUGGAUUGAGGCUCUUGAGAAUGAGGACUGGAUAUGGAGAAAGUGGUAUUGCCCACUACAAACUGCAUAACCAUUUUUUCAAAAUCCCAUAACACCGGUCCUAAUGUCCUCAACCAUUGUACGCCGAAAACAAUGUCACAUCCACCCAAGGGAAGAGCAAAGAAAUCGAGCACAAUAUCAUAAUUUUGUAUUCUAAUAGAAACUUUAGCUAAACAACCUGUACUAGUGAGGGAUCCCCUAUCUGCAAUCUUAACAGUAAAUGGGUGUGUAGUAUCCAAAUGGCCUUUCAACUGUUUAACUAGUGCAAUAUCAAUGAAAUUAUGCGAGCUCCCUGAAUCUACCAAGAAAAUAGCAGGACAAUUGAAUACUAACCCUUGUAUUUUCAUAGUUCUGAUGGACUUUGGAGCAGGCAUCCCAUAAACUGCACAGGCAGUAACCUCAGGCUCGUCAUGAAUCUUUGAAUGGUGCUCCACAAGGUCUCCAUCAUCAUACAUAUCCAAGAGUAGCACUUGCCAUUUUGGACCCACACAAACAUGCUCCCGAGAAAAUUUUUCAUCAUAAUUGAAACACAAUUUGUUCUUCCUUCGAAACUCAAUUUCCGCUGCUGUUAAACGCCUAAAUUGCUCAGAUCUUGAAGAAUGCUCAGGCUUUGGUGUGUUAGUGAUAUCAUAUAAUGGCGUAGGCUUGAACUAGAGUGCAGAUGAAUAAGUUCUUGGAAAAGAUCGGACCUUCAACUCUGCCAAUUUAGCAUCAACCUGUUGAGAGUAAGCAAUGGCUUCAUGAACAUCGAAUGGUUUCAGAAUCUUGACAUCAUGGCGAAUUUCUGGCUUUAAUCCACCAAUAAAACAACUUUUCAAGAGACCAGGGGUCAUUUCGAUGGUCCGAUUUGCUAACCGCCGGAAUUCCAUGAUAUAAUCCCCGUAGCAGCCUAAAUUGGCGAAGCUUCACCAAGUUUUCAGUGCAAUCCAGGAGAUCAGAUGAACCAAAUUCCCUGUAGAAAAUCUUUGUAAAAUCUUCCCAUUUAGGAUAAUUCCUGACACAGUUAACCCAUUGAAACCAUUGAAGCGUUUCACCUUCCAUAUGGAAGGAAGCCAUACGAACUUUCUUGUCGGCCGGAAUAUCAAAGUAAUCGAAGUAAUGCUCCGCCUUAUAAAUCCACCCCAGAGGAUCAUCCCCUUCCUGGAAGCGAGGAAAAUCAAGUUUAACCAAAGGAGAUCUUGGUUGAAACCUUAAAUCCUGACGGUUGAGAUGUUGGGUUCUUGAAUCAUCAUGCAAGUUGGGGUCAAAUUGAGUUGCCUCUGAUGAAUCGCCCAGACCCAAUACCCCUUUCUCCAAAAAUUCGCAAUGAAGUUUCUUGAUUCGGGCAUCCGAUGAACCUUGACACUCUUCCAUGGCGUCAAAUCUUUGCAGUAGUGUCACGAGAGUGCUGUUGAUCGCAACAAGCUGAUUCUGCGAUUCCAUAGCUUUCUUCGUCGACGUACGAGUCAUACGGCAGCAGAGAAGGGAUGGAGGAAAGCUCUGAUACCAACGAUAAACCCUCAAUCAACCUUAACUCAAGAAGCCAUGAGAGAACUUGAAGAGAGAGAAAAAGAGAGAAAAGGAAUUCAGUAUUAUUCAUAAUCGUUUUCUAUUUUCUUACAAACCUCACUAUAUAGUUUCUGUUCUCUAACUAUUCUUAUCCAAUUACAACUAUACCAAUAACCUCCUAACAACCUUAUUAUACUAAUACCACUCAAUUACUCAAUUGAUGCCGAUCACAACCCCACUUAGCUACUAGUAAAUCUCAUCAGAAUCGUAACAUUAACUCAAUCAACCUCAAUCAUCUUCUUGUAGGAUAUUUCAAGAAUAUAUAUAUAUAUAUAUAUAUAUAUAUAUAUAUAUAUAAUAUGUAUAUGUAUAUGCGUGCGUUGUGUAUUUGCAUAGAAUAGAGUUGGGUUCUUGCCCAACAAUCACAUCUCUUCAAUUUGAAUACUGCAUCUUUUGAUUGUUGCCAAAAAUGACACGACCUCAUGGUCAACAAGUGUAAUCCUUCUCCUAGCAAAUAUGACCUUUAGGUAAUUGGUGCUCUCCAUCAGGUAUAAUCGUUAAAAUGCCUUUUGGAUAAUGCUUUGUAUAUGUUCAAACAUACAUGACUUCUUGAACCAAUAUGAAUUCAAAAGUUAUGUACUUUCGAUUAACUUGAACAUGUGCAAUUCUCUCUAUAUAUUGAUAACGUUGGAAGAAGAAAAGAUUUAGAAAUUUGUUGUCUACACAAUUUCUUUACUCUCUUUUCUCUCUCCAUCACAUUCAUUCAAUUUCUUUCUAGUUAUUUCUAAGGGAAUACAAUUUGGUUUUGUUAAUCGAAUAUUUCAUACUUUGUUGUAUCUUGGAAGUGAUUUUCCAAGAACCUUUUAGCAAACUCAUUCGAGUAGGGGCAAAUAACACUUUAAGGAAACGAUUCAAGUCGUAUCUCAAAGUCAUCCUUCAGUUUAUUCUCUAUAUUUUUACAUUUAUUCUAACAAUCUUGUAGUGUUAUUUUUGUCAUGGAUAACAAGUCUGAUAACAUGGCUUUGAAGAUUAUCAAACAAGAUGUCUACAAGCUAGACAAAUUUGAUAGAUCAAAUUUCACCCAAUGGAAGGUGAUAGGAGCAUAUUUAUACGACUGAGUUAGCUUGUUCUCAUGCAUUUAUGUUGUUAUUUCUUAGUUAAUUAUGUAUUUUAAGCUAUUUUCGUGUGUUUGUAGGUCCAUAGGCCUUAUAAAGCAAUAAGAUGCAUUUUGGUGCAUUUUGGUGCAUUUUGGAGCAGUUUUAGGCUUGGAAUGAAUAGCACAUGCAUGGAGUAAGGUAGAUGGACGAAAUUGAAGACUAAAGAGGCUAGGAAUGUGUUAAAGAGAAAGAAGAAUUAAUGUAAAAAGGAUAAAGAGCUCAGCCACAAAGGGGUGUCACUCCACCAUUCACCUUUCCAUCAUUGUUGUGCACCACCAUUGCACUCCAUUUGGAUUCCUAUGACGUGCAUCAUCAUCCAUGUUCCCUCCAUUGACUCAUUUGUUGCAUCAUUCCACUUCCUUUCCUUUAUCUACCAUGUGCACAAUAUCUUUUCACCUCAUUGCACUCAUUGAUUCACCAUUUACUCACCUUUCCACCCAUGCCAUGCAUAAUCACCCUUGUCCCAUCCAUUAUUUCAGAUUUCAUGCAUCAUUACAUUGAAUCAUUGCACUCAAUUGCUACACCAUUUCUUGUUCCCUCCAUCAUUUCAGAUUUCAUGCAUCAUUACAUUGCAUCAUUUCACUCAAUUGCUACACCACUUCAUGUUCCCCUUCAUUGCCAUGCACUUCCUCUAUAAAAGGAAGUGUGUGUAACAUAAAUUUAGUUCAUACUUGGUUAGAUCAUUCACUCCCAUUUCAUCACAACCUUUAUCCAAACACAUCCAUUCAUCUUCAGAUCCAUUCCUUCAUACAAACAAACCUUCAAACACUCACCAACACCUUGUGCCGUAGCAAAGGAAGGGAAGGAAAGUGCUUAGAUGUGCUUGCUGUCCAACUUGGAUCGUUGGAGCGUUUAGGUGUUUUCUUUCUUUUGUUUCUAAUGUUUAAAUUCAUUUCCUUUCGUUUUGUUGUAAAUAUGAGUGGCAAAAUCCCUCUGGGCUAGGGGUGAUUUCAAAGCCAUGAUUAUGUGUGCAAUAUAAUUUGAUAAAUUCCAGUUAUGAACUCUUGAAUCGUGAAUGCAAUUGGCUUAACUAUUUGAUUGAUAACUUAUUUGUAUUUGUUAAUUAAUGGUCGACACUUAAUUAGCAUGCAUAAAUCCAUUGCUAGAAUAUAAGGAAGUUUCACAUAAUCGUUACAAACUUAUAUUCACAUGUAGUGAAGGUCGCUUAUAAACGAUCGCGUUAAGUUCAAUUCCUAGCAUAAGCGACAUGAUGUCAUAGUUGCAAGUGCUUUGUCAAUGCUUAUGGUUUUCAUUAAACGUAAUGAUCUUUGAUUGUCUCUAUUAUGAUGUCAUAUGGGAAACUUUUGAAGAAUGUUUUGGGUUGUAGAAUGAUGUCAUCAAAUCCAAUAAAACAAGGAAAAUCUGAGAGUUAACUAGUGAUGUCACGGUUAAUUUGGAGCAUUAUCGUUCAUAAUUUAAUGAAGUAGUAACUGGAAAUCAAGUUAUUUGCAUACAUGUCAUGUGUGGAGAAAAAGCCUCUAGCUAUCCCAUCCAUCAUCUUAUUUCUCAAAUUUGUUUUACAAUCUGUCUAGUUUUUUAUACUUGUUUGUUUGUUUCAACUUCGUCCAAAACUCAAUCCUCCUUUACUUUAGUGUGUCUAAUUAGUUAGAAUCUGUUUUAAUUUGUGUUUUUAAAUGUUUUGAUUCAAGUAAAAGUCAAUUUUCGUCCAAAGUCAUUCCUAGUGUCUAGUUUAAGUUUAUUUAGUUGUUUUAAGCUGUUUUGAGUAUUUUAAGUUUGCUUUGAAUCUUGUGAGUCUUGUUAAGUAUUUUUAAGUUUAGUUUUAUGUUUUUGAGUCAGUUUAGAGGUUAUUAGCAAGCCCUCCUAAUCCCCGAUCCAGAACGAUCCCUACUUAUACUUAUAUUACAGUUGUCAAAAGAGGGUUAAAUUUGUGUGUUAAGUUAAUUUUCGCAUCAGAAGGACAAGAUGUGUUUCAUGCUUACUGUUCUAAAUGUCAUAUAUGUGUUCAACUCGAAAUUAGAGCCUAUUCGUGAACCAAGUGACAAAGACACGGAAAAAUAGUUGUCGAUUGAAAGAAGCGUGAAGAAGAUGAAUUGGUAUGUAGAAGACACAUCUUGGGCACAUUAUCUGAUCGCUUAUAUGACAAGUACGCACACAUUCAAUCUCCAAAGGAAAUUUGGGAAGAACUUGAACACAAGUACACAACGGAGAAAAGAGGUACGAAUAAAUUUUUAAUGUUCAAAUAUUAUGAGUUCACUAUAUUUGAUAACAAACUCAUCCUACCAAGUUCAUGAAUUAUUGGUCUCGGUCUCAAAACUUUGUGAACUUAAAAUAGUUAUUCCGGAUUCUAUGAUAAUUGGGGCUGUUAUGGAAAAAUUACCCCUAACAUGGAAUAACUAUAGAAAGAAACUUCUACACAUGGUGGAAGAUAUUAGUUUGGAGGAUUUGCAAAAAGGUAUUCAAAUUCAAGAGGAAACUCGAAAUCGUGAUAGGAAUUUUGCAAAACAGGAUUCCUCUAGAAUUCACAUUUUUGGAGGAAACAAAUACAAAAACAACUUCAAAGUCAAAAUUGACAAAGGGAAGUUUAAGAAGACCAAAAAGAAUGCAAAUGGGGUCUACUACCAUUGUGGAAAGAAAGGUCAUUACAUUCGUGAUUGUAGACACAGAAAAGUGAGUGAGGAAUAUGCCAAUAAGACCAAUAACGCAAAUAUGGUGGAAAAUUCUGAAAUUGAUAACAUUGUUGCCAUGGUAUCAAUGAUGCAUAUUGCCAUGAUUACAGAACUAAAUAUGGCAACGGUAAUAAAAUCAUCUGAUUGGUGGCUCGAUUCAGGGGCUACUAUACAUGUGUGUAAUGACGAGUCACAAUUCAAAACAUGUGAAGCAUCAACGGACAAUCAAGAGGUUUUAAUGGGGAAUCAUAAUUCUACCAAAGUUCUAGGAAAAGGAACCAUUGAACUUCAAUUUACUUAUGGGAAGAAAUUGACAUUGCUUAAUGUACUACAUGUUCCAGAAAUUAGAAAGAAUCUUAUGUCUGCAAAUUUAUUGUGUAAGAAUGGUAUAAAGACUGUUCUAGAGUCCGACAAGUUAAUAAUGUCGAAAAUUGGGGUGUUUGUUGGGAAGGGGUAUUCUUGUGAUGGAAUGUUCAAACUAAGUAUUAAUAAUAAAGUGAAUUCUUUUGCUUAUAUUGUUGAAUCUUCCUCUCAUUCAUGGCAUUUACGUUUAGCGCAUGUAAAUUUUAGAUCUUUAAAAUACAUGCGCACAUUUAGUUUAAUUGUUUGCAAUGAUGAUUACAAUGAUAAAUGUGAAACAUGUAUUCGAGCGAAAAUGACUAAGAAACUUUUUUCCAACUACCGAAAGAAAUACAAAUUUAUUAGACUUAAUACAUUCUGACAUAUGUGAAUUUAAUGGUGUUUUAACAAGAGGUAAAAGGUAUUUUAUCACAUUUGUAGAUGAUUGUUCUAAGUUCACUUAUGUUUAUUUAUUGUCUAAUAAAGAUGAAGCUUUUGAGUGUUUUAAGCGCUGUAAGGCUGAAGUUGAAAACCAAAAGGGAAGGAAAAUUAAAUGCCUUCGCAGUGAUAGAGGUGGUGAAUAUUUUUCACAUGAAUUUGAUAUCUUGUGAAGAGCAUGGUGUUGUACAUCAAAGAACUACACCCUAUACACUACAACAAAAUGGUUUGGCAGAAAGAAAAAAUAGGAAACUCACUAAAAUGAUUAAUUCUAUGAUAAUUAAUGCUAAUACUCCUAAACAUUUACAGGGAGAAGCAUUGUUUACUGCAUGUCAUAUAUACAACAGAAUUACAUUUACGAAGACACAUGUGCCACCAUAUGAAAUUUGGAAAGGAAGAAAACCAAAUUUGUCAUAUUUGAGAGUAUAAGGUUGUGUAGCCUUUUACAAGGCACUGGACCCUACGAGAUCCAAGUUGAGUCCAAGAGGAAUUAAAAGCAUACUUGUAGGAUAUGCAGAAAAUUCAAAGGCAUGUAGGUUGCUUAAUUUAGACUCAAAUACAAUAGUUAAGUCUAGAGAUGUCAAAUUUAUAGAAAAUAAAUUUUAUAAUGACUUCUCAAUGUUUGGAAAAGAGAAUGAUCAAACACCUUUCUCUAAUCCGGCUACUAGUCAUUCUUAAGGUAAGAAAAGAAAACAGUUUGAAACUGUUAAUGAACCAAGGAAAAACCAAAGAGUAAGAAAAGAAAAUAUUCUAGACUUUGAUUUUAUUUCAUCUCAAUCUAUUGUAUUUCUGGUCGAAGGAAAUAGAAAAAAGGUUCUAAAAAAAAAAUCCAUAUUGUUGAAUGUUGAGGAUGAUCUUAAAAGUCUAAGCAAAUCAAUGACUUCAAGAGAUGUAGCAUUUUGGAAAGAGGCUAUAGAUGAUGAAUUUGAAUCAUUAACAUCUAAUCAAACAUGGGUUUUAGUAGACUUGCCCCAAGGAUCAAACGCAAUAGGUUGUAAGUGGGUGUUUAGAAGAAAAUACAAUACAGACAGGUCUAUUCAGAUAUUUAAAGCUAGGCUGGUUGCCAAGGGUUUUAAGCAGAAAAAGAGAAUAGACUAUUUCGAUACAUAUGCAUCAAUAGCUAGGCUCACAUCAAUUAGAAUAUUGUUUGCAUUGUCAUUUUUAUAUAAUUUGGAUGUUCAUCAAAUGGAUGUGAAAACAACAUUUUUAAAUGGUGAUUUGGAUGAAGAAGUCUACAUGGAACAACCAAAAAGGUUUGUUCUACCUGGAAAUGAAAAGAAAGUUUGUAAACUAGUAAAGUCGUUAGAUGGAUUGAAGCAAGCACCAAAAUAAUGACAUGAAAAGUUUGAUUUUGUCAUUUUAUCAUAUGAAUUUAGACAUAACAAUGAUGAUAAAUGCAUAUACUCUAAAUUCACAAAUGAUUAUGGUGUUGUUAUAUAUUUAUAUGUUGACAACUUGCUAAUUUUUGGUACAAAUAUGAAAGGUGUAUCUGAAACUAAAGAGUAUCUAAAUUCAAAAUUUAAGAUAAAUGACUUGAAUGAAGUAGAUACUAUCUUGGGAAUUAAAAGAACCAUAGUAGGGGUUAUGUUUUGUAUCAGUCACAUUAUAUAGAAAAAUUGCUUCUUAAGUUUAAGCAUCUACAAAUAAAAGAAGCAAAUACCCCUUACAACCUUAGUGAGACUUUGCUUAAUAAUUCUAGGAGGUCCAUUGCGCAGCUUAAGUAUGCUAAUGUAAUCGGAAGUUUAAUGUAUGCCAUGUAUUGUACUAGGUCAGAUAUCACAUUUGUAGUAAGCAAACUUUCUAGAUACACUAGUUAUCUAGGUACUUCCCAUUGGAAAGCAAUAAAUAGAAUUUUUGGUUAUCUUAAAAGAACUAUUAGCCUGAGUUUAACUUACUAUGAGUUUCCAACAUUACUUGAAGGAUAUUCAUAUGCAAGUUGGAUAACAAGUGCUAAUGAUAAUAAGUCUACAUCAGGGUAGAUUUUUACAAUUACCAGAUGAGCAAUUUCUUGGGCUUCGAAGAAGCAAACAUGUAUAGCACAUUCAACUAUGAAAUCUGAAUUUAUAGCAUUAGCGGCAGUAGGUAAAGAAGCGGGAUGGAUAACAAAUUUUUUAUUGGAAAUAGAGUUGUGGCCCUAGAGCAGACAAUAAGGUAUACAAUGGAAAGUCUAGAUAUAUUAGCUUGAGACAUGAAUAUGUCAAGCAAUUAAUAACAGAUGGAGUUAUUAUUAUUAUUAUUUAUGUUAAAUCAAGUAAUAACUUGGCAGAUUCAGUAAUGAAAGCACUAGUGGAAUGGGGCUAAAACCAUUUACUGAAAAUUAGCCACCGAUAAUGGUAACCCGACUUUGUCUAGAACAUCACUAGUUUAAAAGUUUAAUGGGUAAUAACAAGUUAUUGAUAAGUGGUUGUAAAGCAUUGAAAAUUAAUAUAUAGCUCAUUCCAAGAUGAUCAGUUUAAGACUGCUAUAUUUAGGAGGAUGAGUUUUAUCUCUUAAUGAGGUUAUUUGUAGUUAUGUCUAUAGUAGCAGGGACAUGGGAAGGAACCUCACCUAUAUGAACAUAAGAAGUGGUGCCGCUUUUACCAAGAGUUGGGUUUUCUCUUGUAAAUGUUCUUCAAACCAGCAUGAAACACAAUGCCAUAACAGUGCUUAAUUAGUUCAGAAAUUUCUUUGAGGAAAUAAGACAUAGUCAUGUGUGUAGUGAUUCCAGUUUUAACAUAAGAAUAGUUGGUUUAAACUUAUAUCACUAUUGCAUUCAUUAUUUACACUAAUUAAAUAUUUAAUUCGAAAGACACAUUUAUUGUAGGCAUGAUUAUAUUGGUAUGCUUGUGAUUAAUUAUAAAAAGAGAAUUAUUAUAAUACCAUUUACUCUUAACACUUCUCAGUGUUCCUGUUUCCUUCUCAAAUCUGUGGAGAAAGUACCUCAUGCAAAAUUGCUAACUUCGUAUUUGGUGUUCCAAAUUGGCCUCUUUUAGGCAUCCCAAAGAGCAAGUGAGAGGGGAAGAUUAUUCUAGGAUGUGCUUGAAGCCAAGAAAGCGUAUUAAAGAGAAGAUUUAAUGUUGUGGAUAAUAUGUUUUUGAUAAAAAUAAAAUAAAAAUAGGUGAAUAACAUGAAGUUUAUAUUUCACGGAUAAAAAUUAGUAUUAAAAAUGAAUGUAUAUAUUACGAGUUAGUAAGGGAUGUUUCUGAUUCGAGUUAAACAUACUUCUGCAAUCAACAAAACUAUAUUAUGCUCCAGUUUGUGCAAUGACCAUCACGAAUCUGAUUUUUGUUGGACUGAAACUUCCUUCAGACUUUCGGUGGUUGCUUUUACAGGCAAUGGUAAGUCUAUGAGCAUGUUUGGAGGAGCAAAGUACAUGUGCAGUGACAUCAUACAGAUAAUAAUACCCAAGAAAAGCUGCAACAACAGAACGGACGAGAACCAAAGUUUAUUAAUAACCUAAUCGUAGUUUCCAGAGAGAGUGAGAGGGCAGUGCAUGGAUGGAACAUACCUGCAGUGUGGGCUUAAAAGUGAAAAGGUAUACUGAUAGAACCAUUGUCAGCAGCAUUGCCAUUGAGGUGGAAUACACCUGAAAGAAGCAAAUAAAUGAACACUAGUAUAGUACAAUGUUGCAUCCAUCUAAACUUAAAAUAACACUUAUUAUAAGAGAACGACAGAAAUUAGGCCAAAGGUUCAUCUAAUUACCUUCACUAUGUUGUCAGCAUACUUCAUCAACCAUGAAACAAGCAGUCCGGUAGAUCCAAGAUUUAGCACGACCAACCAAGUUGUAAGACUGUAUCCAUUGAAAAGGCGUUGCCACCAAGGGCCAUUCUCAAAUUCACCCCUGAAGUCAUCGAAGCCAAGCCGUGCUACGUUGAAAAUCACACCAAACCUGUAAAAGGAUUGCCAUUGGACCAAUUUUUUUUCCCACUCUAAAUAAACAGUUAAUCAUGCUGUAAAUAAAACUCAUGCACAUAUCUCAAACAAAGUUUAUAUGCUAAUCACAAGACAAGACACUGUAAUGAGUUCGCCAAUGAUGCUAUAUCUUCUAUAUUGCGAUCCUAAAAAGUGCAGAAAGAGGCCUGACUUGUGUUGCCAUAUAUAAGAAAGUCCACAAAAAAGAUUCUUAUUGAACUAAAUGGAAAAUGCAUCGUUGAGCUUUCAUAUAGUAACAAUCAUGUAAUUGAAAUUAGUCACAGAAAGCAAGGCAUGGUGUGGAAAAAAGAUACCUACGUGUACAAUUGUACAUUCUGCCAGUACAAGCUAUCAUUGUUCUUCUUCAUGAGAAACUCUGUAUAAACACCUGCUAAUGCUGACAUACAAGCAGAUAGGAUGCCAAGCAUAUAUCCUUGGAUUGGUGCUGAGAACAAAGAAUCACAUGACACUUCUCCACAACCUUUAACCUACAAGAUUAAUUAAAAGUAAACCAACAAAUAAGUAGCCGGUCGUUCUAAUGCACAAAUUUCCUCAACAACUUUAGAGCUUAUUAAAACUGCAUCAUUCAAGAAAUUCCUGAAUCACAGAUUUUUUUAUCAGACAAUAGUAAACAAGAACUUAUGUUAAGCAUACACGCUUCCCAAUUAAUCUUAGGAGGUCGGAGAAAAAGAUCAUAUUUCUGGAUUCUACCAAGAACAUAAUAGAAAGGUAAGAUGAUAAUAGACAACAACAUAAUCAAACAGCAGGUAACAUCUAUCUUUGAAACAGUUCUGAAAACGAAUAUUCGACAAAAGAAAACCCAAUGCGAUAACCAAAAAAAGAACAGCUUCUAUUAUCACCUGGCUCGUGGUUGUUCCAACAGCUAACAAAACAAUUGCUAUCCAUUGCAGAUUAGACAACUUCUUUCUCAGGAAUAGCCUGAAGUAUCAUUCGAUAAAGAUAGAUCAAUCAAUUAAUAAAGGAGAUAUAACUGGACCAAGUAAAAUUCCAACGAGAAAUUGAAAAAAAAAAAAAAAACAAAAACAAAAAGGAAAACAAUUUAGAUUAUGUCACCAGGAAAUCUAAUAAAGUAGGCACCUGAACAAUAUUCCAGUAGUAACAAUCUUCAGAUUACCCAAUAUCUGAUAUGUGGAAGUAUCCACAUAAACAAGAGUGGCAAACUGAACAUUGUUAUGAAUUAGAUAUAUGACUGAAGGAAUAGGAUAUAAGCGCACACUCCUCCAAUCUGUAGUCAUUCGUAUGGAAGGUGAUAUGCGACACUCUCUCCAAAGAAGAAAACUGGAAACUAUUAGCUGUAAUUUAAAGAACCGCAAUGAAACAUAUCAGUACAACUAGAAAAGGCAUCACAUAUUUGAGGAAAGUAAAUGAGCCAUUGUGUAGUGAAAAACUGUCUCUAAUUUGGUGGCUUAAAGAGGAAAUCACUGUGACUUUACAAGCUAAAUGAUGCACUGAGGUAAAGAUAGGUAUAGAGAAGUACCUUGAAUACUUCAGCAAGAAACGGAACAGUUGCAUAGUCAUACUCAUAUUUGCCAUUGCUUUGAGAGAGCGUUGUUAAGAUUCCCUGACAUUAAUAAACGAAUGUUUGGAACUAAAUUUCUAAACCAAUACUGUCAACCUCUGCCAACACAACAUAUAAAAAAAAAAAACUUGAGCCCAAAGUUCUCUCACUCCAUAUAUUCCAGAAUAUGAAAAGUUAAGAACAAUAUUCUGUUGGAAAAUGUCUAUAAAAGUUUAUCUAGACAGCGCUGCCGCUGAUUGCUAUAAUACCAAAAAAGGCAAUGAAACUUCCAGAAAAUAACUGCAUAUAAGUAUCCACUCAGCAUGGGAAGUCCCAAAAUUGAUUUCCAUGUGUCAAAAACUGAGGAAACCGUUUUCUUUAGCAACACUCAACAACUCUGUCUCAUAAUCACGUCUUAUAACUGGAGCGUCUGUAAGUCUUUAUUUCACAUGUCAAACCUCCUUAACCGAUUUUCUCUCAUCUCAUCUUCAAUUCUGACUACUCCUACUUUACUUGUCCUUUCUCGUGUGGCCACACAUCCAACGAAGCAUUCUCAUGUCGGCUACACUCAUUUUGUCUACGUGUUGAUGCUUGACCGCCCAACAUUUAGUGCCAUAAAGUAUUGCUAGCCUUAUUGCCGUCUAUAAAUUUUUCCUUUGAGCUUAGUGGCAUAUGAUGGUCACACAACAUAUCCGACGCACUCUUCCACUUCAUCCAUCUAGCUUGUAUUCUAGAGUUGAGGUCUCCAUCUAAUUCUCCGUUCUUUUGCAAGAUAGAUCCAAGAUAGUGAAAGCGUUUGCACUUUGGUACUUCCUGAUCUCCAAUCUUCACCCCUAUCUCAUUUGGACCUCCAUUCUCACUGGACUUGCAAUCCAUAUACUCUGUCAUUGACAUGGCGAAGACCUUUAGAUUCCAACACUUCCCGCCAAAGGUUAAACUUCGCGUUUAUCCCUCUGACUCAUGAGCUUCAUCUAUCAACGUUAUAUCGUCCGCGAAAAGCAUACACCAAGGAAUAUCAUCUUGAAUGUCCCGUUAACUCAUCCAUUACCAAUGUAAAAAAGAUAAGGAAUUAAAGAUGAGCCUUGAUAUGACCCUAUAGUUAUGAGAAAGCUUUCGGUUUGUCCUUCAUGAGUUCUUACAGCAAUCCUUGCUCCAUCAUACAUUCCCUUUAUAGAUUGGAUAUAUGCUACUCGUACUACUUUCUUCUCUAAAAUCCUCCAAACAAUCUCUCUUGGGAACCUAUCAUACGAUUUUUCCAAAUCUAUAAAGACCAUGUGCAAAUCUUUUUUCAUAUCUCUAUAUCAUUCCAUCGAUCUUCGUAAGAGGUAGAUUGCCUCCAUGGUCAAGCGCCCUGGCAUGAAUCCAAAUUGAUCGACUGAGACCCGUGUCUCCUGCCUCAGUCUAUGCUCAAUCCAUGCUAAAAUAAAAUACCAACUUGACUGUUGUCGAAAGAUCCGUAAUGAAAAAUGAUUAUUUCCUCAAGUUGUAAGUUGUAACUAACUAAUUCAAAUUUGUAAAGAACAAACAAAUAAUUAUGUAUACCAGGAAAUUUCACUCUUGCAAAUAAAUGUUAGUUUGUACUCCAAUGUGGUUCAUAGGAUUCUUCCGGGUCAAGAACAGCAAAUUGAUCCAAAACCAGCACUUACAUAAAAAAUCCUUUACGACAUUUGCUAAAACAUACAAAUUAUGAAUUGUUGAAGUUCCAUUUGACCCCUUACCGUGAGUGCUACAAAACUACACGCGAGUUCAUCCAUCCUAAGAUCUCAAGAAACAACUCAUAUCUUGUACAAGUUUCAAGCAUUCUCACUUGAAUUACUCAAUGCUCAAAAACUUGGAAUUGGAAAAAAAACACAAAACUGAUUUCCUUUCAUAUCCAUUUUGUUCUUUAAACAGCUCGAGAAAUGUAGCGCCCUCAGUUGUACUUUUCAGUCAACAUAAGAAGGCCAAACUACGCAAUAAUAACAAUUUAAAGCCCAAUUUCAAAACAAAAAUAAAAAAAUAAAAAAUCAGUUGGAAACCGGAAUCAAUUCGCCAUUGUCACUUAUAAAUACACAUUUCAAGUAUUGGGCAAGACAUAAUUACACAAACAGAAAGCUGCAUAAAAAAAUUUAAAAAAAAACUCAAAAAUAAUUAUUUCGGGGAGAAUUAAAUUACAGCUACACUGAAUCGAUUUGGGAUGAAUUGGAACAAAAAUUUCUCAAAUUUCGAAACUGGGUCCGAAAACCAAACAUUGCAGAACUCAGAUUCAGAGGAUUAAGAGCGAGCAGAGAUCCAGAAAACAGUGAAACGCAAAGGGUAGUAACAAAACGGGCCAGAAAUCGUAGAGUCUGAAGGUUUACUGACCUGAGAGCUGGUGAGCACGGUGAGCAGCGCGGCAACGAAAUACCACUGCAUCGUCUUCUUCCAAACGACCAGCGGUUGCUCGCGUAAAGUUUGGGGCUUUGCUAAGAAAAUGUAAGCGCUGAUUCGGGCAUUGGACUUUCCGGUAACCUGUGUACGGCGAUGAUAAAAUCAGCGUCGAUUUGGGUGCGAAACUUGUCGGCUGAGAGAUUGGCAGUCUGGCGGCAUUGAUGAUUAAAUCCACUCCAACCUAGAACUGGCAAUCUUGUCGCCUUUACUGUGUUUUUGUUGAUUUCAUGACAUAUGUCAUAUCUUAAAUGAAAAUAUUACAAUGAAAAUAAUUGGCAAGAUCCGAUCCGAACUUCAUCCAUUAAUUUAACUCGACUCAUUAUCUAUUAAAAAUAUAUAUUUUAAUAAAUAAUUAAAUAAAAAAUAUGAUACUAAAUUAAAAUUUACAACGAUAGAAAGAGAUUUUAGAUUUGAAUGUUGCUCAGUAUGUGACUUCGUCGAAUUCUUCCUGUUCUUAUGUUCUUAGUAUAAAAAUAAUAUCGAUGUACUUAACAAAAAAAUAUACAACGAUAGUGUUAUUCACACACAUUUUUUACAGAUCAUGAUCGUCUCCGAAUCUGUUCUCCGGAGAUCCGGAGGACCACAUCAUCCUCGCCGUUUGUUCAAAAUCGUGCGGCCAAGAUUAAAUUUACUUUUUAAAACUCAUUUGAAGCAAAACCAGGGUCGAUGCACCUCUGUUUUCCUCCUCUUUCCUUUUAUCUCAGAUCCCAGCAAUCGACAAAGCACGAACUUGAGUUCUUUCAUGUCAAAAUUUCACUGAUUAAUUACUGAAUCAACACUAAGCUUAUGGGCAGGGCGGAUCCUUUCUAUUUGUUUGGUCGAAUUUCCGAGCUCGAGAAGAGGAGAUGCAAGUGUUUUCAGCCAUGGAGUGGAUCACCUGAGGAACCACUUCAGCGGCCGGAACACGGUGGUGUUGCUUGCGACUGAGUGGCCAUUCCUUUUGAGAGAGAGCACCAGGAAAGGAGCAGGCUUGAAGCGGCAAGGAAAAUAGAGAGGGAGACUAGUCUUUUGUCUUAAGAUCAAAAUCAAUGGCCAGGGUGAAUUGGUCCGCCGGAUCCGCAGUGAAUGAUCCGGAGAUGAUCUGGAUUUUCUUUUUAUCUUUCACACACUCUUGUUAAGUUUUUUUAUAGAAAUAACAAAACAAAAAUGAAUAGUAAUAUAAAAUGCUGAAGUGGCUUAAUCGUGAUCACACAAACAGUAGGUAGACAAUCUUUGUCCAUUUACAAAUCAUGUUGUCAAUAAAUUAGCAUCUACAUAUCCUAAACACUAAACCAUAAAAAUCCAAAUGACGAUACAACCAUUGUCAAUGCGUAAAGGAUGCGAUGACGGCUAUUGGCAUACUUUUUUCACAUUUUUUUCGCACUUAUAAAUUAAUUAUUAUGAAGUAUUACAUAUUUUCAACUCCACCUAAAAAUAUUGUUCACGAGAGUUUGGAGGAUUUUAAAAAUGCAAACGACGAUGUACCUAUCGUUAAAGCAUAGAGGAUGAUCGCAAACGUUUAUUGUAUCAAAUUUUCACACACGUAAAUUAUUAUUAUAAUUUACUUUGGUAUUUUGUAGGAAAAAUUAAAUUACAUUAUAAAAUAAAAAUAAUCCAUAACAAUUAACGUACUAGUGUGAAAAAUGUGGGAAACAAAUGUGCAACACUUGUGUUUGCAUCCUUUGCACUUGAAUGAUGGUUACAUCAUCGUUUGGACAAGUCCUUCAAACCCUCAUGAAUAGUAUUAUUUGUUUGAGUGCAAAACUAAUAAACAUUCAUAAUAAUAUUGUACAAGUGUGAAAAAAGUUAUUAAAAAAAAUACAAAAACUCGUUUGGACUUUUAUGAAGAGGUCAACUUCAAGAUUUGACAUCAUAAUUCAUAAUCCUUAUAUUUAUAUUUAAUCGUUGAUGUCGUUUACGUUUAUGGUUCAUUUUUCUGAUUAGUUUUCCUUUUUCAAAUUUUCUUUUUUUAAAACAUGAUCUUUUAACGAUUGCAAAAAGAUGAACGGUUUAGAUCGUUGAUAUCACUUUUAAAUUUUUACAGUUAGUGAAAAUGUUGCUAAGAUUUUAUAGUCAACAAUCCAAACCGUUUAUCUCUGCAUCCGCUAAAAAAAUCAUGUUUAAAAAAAAAAUUGUGAAAACAAAAUUUGGUGAGAAAAAUGGAGCGUAAAUGUAAACGAUAAUCGAGUUGACCCCUUGGCAAAAGUUGUUGAGCUUAUCAUUACGAGCAUUUGUAUAUUUUUGUUUACAUUUUUCACACUUAUACAUCAAUCAUUAUGAAUUUUUAUUAAUUUUGCACUAGAUGAUUCCUUACUGGAUUAGGUUUUCGUGUCUUGUGGAAUAAGCAUGGUUUUUCCUUAAAGUGAACGGUACCGAGAGUUUUUCGUUAAAAUUCCCUUUAAAAAAAUCUUUAAAUGAUGAUAAAUAGAAAUAAAUAAGAAUACUGCUAAACUCACCUCAUUGUCUUAUUUCUCCACCGACAUUUUAAUGAAAAUGUUAAUUACUUAUUGAAACCUCCACCAAAAUUUGACAAAUCUAAUUAUUAAUAUUAUUUUUAUGCUUUCUUUAAAAAAAAAUUUAUAUAGUUUUAUUUUUUUAGACUCUUCGUUUUCUUUUUUUUUUUCAAGUAAAGGUCUUGAGAGUAUCAUCAUGUUAUUCUAAAAAAGAAAAAGAGGGAGGGAGGAGUUCAAGAUUUAAAAAGAAAUUAUAUAUGGUGGUAGAGUUCGAUGGAAAAAUGAAUAAUGUUUCCUUUUAUAUCAUAAGUUUGAAUACAACAUUUUCUGUUAAAUAAAGAAGUUUUAUACUCGAUUAAUCCAUAGAUUUAGGUGUAAGUCCACAUGACAUUCCUUGAGUGGAAAAGUAAAGAAGGUAAGUAGGAAAAUAGCUAUCAUUUUUGAAAAUAUAAAAAUACAUUUUGAAGGUGUCAUGAUGAGUCAAAUAUUAUAGCAAAUUAAGGUAAGUAGGGCCCAUGAAUAAAGGAAAUAGAUGACAAAAAACAAAUAUAGCAUUCACUAUUUAACAAAGGCGAAACAAACCAUCAAAUAAUUUCAAUACUUGAGAAUAAACACAUAUAUUCAUAUAUAUAUAUAUAUAUAUAUAUAUAUAUAUAUAUAUAUAUAUACAAUUAUAUCAUUCGGGGUGAAUAUAGAAAUAGAUACGAAUCGGAAACUAAUGUAGUCGUAUUCAAAAUUGUAAUAAAAUAACAUUCUUAAUUUUUUUCAUAUUAAAAAAUACCUAAAUUUUAAUCUUCAAAUUCGUCGCAUUCGGAUGAUUAUCGACGUCAUAAAUUUAACGGGUUAGAUUGCUAUCUCUAUAUAUUAGAUCAAGUUAAUGCCUUGUCCUUUAGUUGUACCAACCGGUGGACUUGGUGUUAUUUGUUUUGUCUUUUGAUUGGACCGUGAUUUAGGGCAUGAUGCACCCACAGGAUUUUCGCGGAAACAUCCGAACAUUCUUUCCCUCUUCAUUUGGUCUUCUUCGCUACUCUCUCUCUCUCCCUCUCCCCCUCCCUCUCCCUCUCUCAGGUCCUAAAACCACCAUUACCAACGGCAACCCCGGCACUACAACCACCUUCCUGAAAACCCCCAAUUCCCCAAAUCCAAAACCCUAAAAUCGAGUAUAAGCAUCCCCCCACCCUCAUCAAUUCUCUGCAAUUUCAGACGAAUCCGUUCUCCCUUUUCAAGUUCGGAGCUCAAAUUUAAGGUAAUAUCACUAUACGAGGUCAACUUUCAGUUUUAGGUGUUAGGGUUUUUGUUUAAUUUCAAUAUCAGUGAGGGGUUUUGUGGAGGGGUGUCAAUUCAGUUGGGGGUUCAAUUGCAAUUUCAUUUUCAGGUGCCAGUUAGGGUUUUGAAGGGUUUCAGUUUAAAUUUUGGCUUCAAUUUUAUUAGUGUAAUUGUACAGCAACAACAACAACAACAACAACGAAGCCUUUUCCCACUAAGUGUGGUUUAUUAGUGUAAUUGUAAUCCCUCUAAAUUUGUGUAACGUAGGUAGGGGUUCUUUUGUUGGAGAAGGAGUUGACCAUUGAAUUGGGGGCUUUUGCUGCACCUGCAGGUUAAAAUCUCAACCUUUUGCCUUCUGUGAAUGUAUUGGUUGCUUGCUGUGAAUGUUCUGGUUGCUUGCUGUUAAUGUGAAAUGGUGAAUUGAACUUUGAAUGUAAUUUAUUAGAUUUGCACACUAACAGGAUUACUUUACUCACAAAUUUAUUAAUAUAUGCAGUGGAAAAGGUCAUGAAAACAUUUAAAACAAACUCAAGGUAUAUUGUAUUCCGUUUCAAAAUUUAGACUUGGAGUAAUAGAAAAAUCUUGCAUGAGGUGGACAUGGUUGAGAGAAGGGGAGAGAAGGAAAACAUAAAGAAACUAAGGGGCAAUUACGGUUUGAAUUGUACUUCUAUUGAGUCAUCAUUUGACGACAAAGAAAUCUCCCUCCAAUGUUAUAGGUGGUUGGCUUUCAUCUCUGUGUAUUCAUUUUGAGAGUUCUUAGCAAAUGAAGAGAUGUCAGAGGGGCUUACCAGAGACAGCUUAGAACCAUUAGGCUUUUUCCUUAUAUACUGAACCAGUGUUCUACUAUGGUCAGUAACUUGAAUUUCAUAAAAAUUAGUUUGUCUUUCAAUAAUUUGAGUUAAGAUCACAAUUAAAAUUUUGCUGGAAUGAUAGACAUAACAGUCCUUUCCCAAUGGUUUUGAGGAGGACAAUUUUUGUCUCCUACAACCUUUGUUAAACAAUCUAUGAAAGUUGAAACAAUAGGAAGGACUCGGUCGUUGCCUUCUACAAAUAAAACCAAAAAAUACAAAGUUAGUUUAGCAUUCAAUGUCAAACCUAGAUUAACCAUAUUGGACCCAACACAAAAUAAACGCAAUGAAACAUGGGCAUCACAGAUUUCAAACUGAAAUUGGGACAAAUGUUGAUGGAGCACCACUAACUAAUCAAAGUUGUUCCAGUACUUGAGUGUUGAGUGACUUCUUAUGAGUCCUGCAAGUUCCUAUAUUUCAACACCAAUCAGAAGAGGGAAGGGGGAUUUUGGUUGAAUUUUUUAAAAACCCACAUGUUCCCUUGGUCAAUUAACUACCCUAAAACAGUAGAAUUUCAUUUAUAAAUGGAAAUCAAGUUUUAAUUCCCUUUACACGUACAAAUCCAUAUUUUUUUUUUUCCGUCUCAAGUAGUUAAGUCCCUUUUCACAUGCGAAUCCAUCUCUUUUCAUUUCAAGCAGUUAUUCUUUUGUGUCAUUCACAAACUGUAUCAGCAUAUACCUUUUUCUACUCCAGUAUUUUAUCUGCACUUUCCCAUUACCCCAUCGCAUUUUAAAUUUGCUAUACUCUCCUUCAUAACCUUUGGGUUAUUUAUUGUAGUUUUUGAAUUCCAAUUCUUGAUGUUGGUCUUAGGACUUCUAACCUUUCUGUUGAUAAGGGUUCGGUUUUUGAAUUUCAGAUUGGAUAUUAGAUAUUGUUUUAAGUUCAUUUUGGAGGGAUUUACUUGACCUUCGGUUUUUAGCAUGCAGGUUGCCAAAACUGAAUUGAAUUGUUCUUCCAUUUAUAGCAUGCAACACUGAAUAAUAUUUAGCCAAAUACGUAUAUUUUCUCUGGCCUAGUUGAGGUUGAGAUUCAGGCAGCUGGGAAGUGGUGUUUAAGCUUCAAUUUCAAGUUUUGGCUACAGUUUCAAAGUUUAUCAGAAUGGUUUAACUUUGUGAGACACUGUCAAAGUUAAAUUGGUAGCUGGUGUGAGUUUGUUGGAGUUUUGUUCAAGAUGGAUAACUCUGCAAACAUGCAUAAUGAUCAUUUGGGUGUGAACAAAAUGGGGAAAAAUAUAAGGAAGAGUCCUUUGCACCAACCCAAAUUUGGUAAUAAUGACGCCAGGCAACAACCUCAACCUCAGGUGUACAAUAUAAGCAAGAAUGACUUCCGGAACAUUGUUCAGAAGCUUACUGGUUCGCCAUCGCAAGAACCUUUGCCUAGACCUCCCCAGAAUCCGCCAAAGCCCCAAAGUAUGCGAUUGCAGAGAAUUCGACCUCCCCCAUUAGCACCUAUCAACAACAGACCCUUAAACACACCUCCAGCUCCUCUUCCUGCAGGCCCACCACAGGUUCCCUACAAUAAUAACUUUGUUAGGCCUCCUCAGUUUGGACAUCCAUCACCUACACCAAUGCCACCAUUUCCACAUGGAGAUUCAAUGUGGCAAAAUACAGCUGAAUCUCCUAUCUCAGCAUAUAUGCGGUACCUUCAGAGUUCAAUGUUAGAUCCAACUCCAAGGGGCAACCAACCUCAGCCUCAACCACAAGUUCCAGGUCAAAUGCAGUCUCAGCCACCAUCAACCAGUUUACUUCCUAACCCAUCCGUAUCUGCUCACCCACCCCCGAGAAUGAAUGCCCCUGGGGCACAUGCGCCUAAUCUACAGCACCCACAGAUGAAUGGUCCUCCCCUCUUACCGUCACCAACUUCACAGUUUUUAUUGCCAUCCCCAACGGGUUACAUGAACUUGUUGUCUCCACGGUCACCUUAUCCAUUGCUUUCACCUGGGAUGCAGUUUCCUCCACCAUGGACCCCCAAUUUUCAGUUCUCUCCAAUGGGCCAAUCAGGGCUGUUAGGUCCAGGGCCUCAACCCCCACCUUCUCCUGGCGUUUUGUUUCCAUUAUCUCCUUCAGGGUUUUUCCCCAUUUCAAGUCCAAGAUGGAGGGAUCAUCACUAGUUGGCACAACAUUGUUAAGCAUGUGAGUCCAUACAUUCCCUUGUGCUAUUUCUUUAUGUGGACUCGUCGUCUACUUGUAGGAGCUUCUUUUGUGAAAAAUAUAUUGUAUACUGGUAGCGUAAGUGGCUUUUUGGGCUACCCGUAAUGUUCGCUUCUCUUUUCUUUAUUUUUCUUUUGUUGACACCUUCUCUGCAGCUUUUUUGAAUCUUGAAUCUGUAUCAGCUCAUAUCUUUUCUUCUAAUUUUGUAAUGUUUUGAUUAAAUUGUAGUUUGUUGUCAAUUUUCUUCUUCAGUUAACUGGCAAAUGGAGGGAAUUUCGCAUUAGCAAUUAUAGAUUCGUUGUACCUUGUUACGUUCAAUCAUGAAAUCAUUGCUGUGUUGAUCUUAGGUUAAUGAAUUGCAGAAUUGAUUCUCUUUACGAAAAUAUAUAAUGUAAUAUUUUUGUGAAACACGAAUGUUGUUCACGCGUUAUUGUGUUUACUAGCUUUGUCUUGAAUGUUCUUCACUUUGUUCAAGUAUUUUACUACUUGUGUAAACUCUAGGGGAUUAAAAAAGGUGCAGGGUUGUGUAUAUAUUUGUUGAAACAUUCGAUGACCUACUUAGUUACCGUAGAACAACGAACAUGGAUGUUUUAUAGCUUGAGGAGAAGUAAUCCUUACAUUUGAGACUCAACUUACACGAAAAUAUCGGUAGUCCAAAAACACGGAAAUUUCGAUGGAAAUAUCGGGAUAUUAUGGAUAUUUUAGACCAUGAUUAGAAUCGAUAUGCACUAACAGCUGGAAAGCAUGGACUUGAUGGAACAAAGUGUUGGACAGGUCCUAGUCAUUACCCUAAACUCCUCAUCAUCUUUCCAGCAGACCCUCCGCCACUAAUCUCGCAUAUUAGUCCCGCUCCAUCGUCACAAAUCUAAUUGACGCAGAACCAAUCGACUACCGCCACCGUAGGCGUAGAUCCGUUCCACCAACGCCACGCCGACACCGCUAAUACGUUCCACCAUCGUCACAAAAUCUAAAGCAUACAAGUAAUCAUAUUACUAGUGUUUUUGUGAGUUUUGCUCAAUUUUUAGAUUAAAUAGCCAAAAUUCCUCUUUCAACCAGUCUCGUACAACUCAUUGUUCAAACUCGAAGGCCUAAAUAACACCUUUGAGUCUUUGGCUGGGCGGUCGUACCCAUCUCCCGCUAAAACAAGCGAGUACAUGCUUGCACAACAUUCUUUUUUUUACGUAAAAUUUUGACGGAGAAUAAUAAAACCUUGUUUUUCAUCUCUUCAAGGAACGCGAAAACACGGGUCCCACAGAAAACAACACACCCGACCCAACCCAAACCCCUCAAAACGGACCUGUUCUUGUUCUUACUCUUGGGUCAUCACUCAUCAGGUGUUCCAAUUCCUUUUUCCAAAUAUUAAUAAAAAAAUCGUUACACAAAGUUGACAAACUGCCGCCCCCGAAAACCCGUUAUCUGGUUCGGUUUUGUCUAAUGACCACCAAACCGCCUGAUCAGGAGGCGGUUCGCAUGGAUGCUUGUCCGACCACGACUUCCUUCUUCCUUGGAGGGACAACGUUGAAUCUUUUAGUUUGAUUCCGACCAGACACCAGACAAUACCAGAAACUGAAACGGUCUGUAAUUUUUGUCUUCUUUUUGUCUGGUUUUUUUUUAUCCUUUCCUUUUUCUUUUCAGUUUCCUUAAUCUUUUUAUUUGAUUCCGGUUGAUGUUGGGUUGAUCAGAUUCUUGGGUCAGGGACAGAAUUCGACGUGUAUUGGUGUUUUUCCUGGAAUUCCAGCCAGCUCAGUUUGAAUUUUGACUCGAGGUAGGCCUUUUUUGAUUAAUUUCAUGAAAACCCUUUUAUUAUUUUCAAUUUUCUUAAUCUAUUUUCCUAAUCUCAAAUAAAAUGGAACAAUUUUGGGUUUGAGAUUUUUUUUUUUGUCAAACUAUAGAUUUUGUUAGAUUAGAUGUUGCAUUAGUUACCGACAGAAUUCAAACCACGUCAUCAUGCAAUGAUUCAACUUCUUUCCACCACUAUGGUAAAUGUCCACUUGCGAGGGUUUGGGAUAUUGGGUUUUGAUGCAUGCAUGGUUAUAAAGUUGUAAUCUUGAUGAUCAAAUGUCAUUAAAACCCUUGUUUUCGUUUCGUGUUUUUUUUUUGGUACUGGCAGAGGAUCUUGAGAUUUUGAUUGGCUUUUGUUUGAUUAAUUUCUGUCGGGAUUGCUGUAUCAGGAAAUUUUUCGCCGUCUGAGCCGGAAUGGAACAAUUCCGGCAUAUUGGGGAGGUUUUGGGAAGUAUGAAGGCUCUGAUGAUGUUAACAGAUGAGAUUCUGAUCAAUCAAUGCCAGUGCUGUUUGUUGCAUGAUGUGUUCACGUUGGCGUUUGACACGAUCGGAGAGGAGAUCCGACUGAACUUGAAACUCGAAGAGAAGAAGACAAAAUGGAAAGCGCUCGAGCAGCCUCUGAGGGAGCUGCACAGAGUUUUCAAGGAAGGGGAGCUGUACAUUCGGCAUUGCAUGGAUGCAAAAAACUGGUGGGGGAAAACAAUCCUCCUCCAUCAGAACAAGGACUGCGUCGAAUUUCACAUUCAUAACUUGUUCUGCUACCAUGCGGCCGUGAUUGAGGCGAUUGAGAAUGCUGGAGAGAUUGCGGGGCUCGAUCAGGAGGAGAUGCAGAAGAAGAGGAUUCUGCUCGCAAGGAAGUAUGAUAGAGAGUGGAAUGACCCCAAACUUUUCCAAUGGAGAUUUGGGAAGCAGUAUUUGGUCCCGAAGGCGAUCUGCAACAGGUUGGAGAGUGCUUGGAGGGAAGAUAGAUGGCGGCUUGUCGAAACUCUGAAGGUGAAAAAGAUUUCAGGAUCCUUUGGUUUGACGAGGAAUGAGCAGCAACUUGGAGACUUGCUGCUCAAGAAACUUGGUGGGUCGGAAACCUUAAAUGGGAAGCUCUUUCCGAGCUCAAUCUUACUGGAAUCCGACUAUUACAGCGUUAGGCGGUGGUUAGGAGGAGGAACGCAGUACAAGGAGAUCCAGUGGUUGGGGCAGAACUUUGCCAUGAGACACUUCUUUGGGGAUAUUGAGCCGUUGAAUUCUGAGAUUUCAACUCUCCUCGCACUUUCCCACCCCAAUGUGCUGCAGUACCUUUCGGGGUUUUAUGACGAGGAGAAGAAGGAAUGCUUUCUUGUUAUGGAGUUGAUGAUCAAGGAUCUGCGCUGCUACAUGAAGGAAAACUGCGGCGCGAGAAGGCAGGUUUUGUUUUCAAUCCCGGUAGUGGUUGAUAUCAUGCUUCAGAUUGCAAGAGGCAUGGAAUAUCUGCACUCUAGGAAGAUCUACCAUGGGGAGUUGAACCCCUUGAAUGUCUUUCUCAAGGCAAGGAGCUGCACAGAAGGCUAUUUCCAAGUAAAAGUCUCGGGUUUCAGUUUAUCAUCCGUGCGCAAACCUACUUACAGAAAAUCACAGCAGAAGAAUGAAAUCAACCCUUUGAUUUGGUGUGCCCCGGAAGUCCUAGCUGAGCAAGAGCAACCAGGAAACAAAGGUCGUACCAAAUACACGGAGAAAGCGGAUGUAUACAGCUUCGCAAUGCUUUGCUUUGAGAUCUUGACCGGGAAGGUUCCCUUCGAAGAUUCACAUCUCCAAGGGGACAAGAUGAGCAACACUAUAAGAGCAGGAUGGAGGCCUCUCUUCCCAUACCCUUCACCAAAAUACCUCGUCAAUUUAACCAAGAGAUGCUGGCACAGUGACCCGUCUCAGCGCCUGAGCUUCUCGUCCAUCUGUCGCAUUUUGCGCUACAUAAAGAAGUUCCUUACUCUGAACCCCUAUGACGAUCAGCCUUUACUGCAAUCCCCUCAUAUGGAUUACUGCGAGAUAGAGUCAUGGUUCCUGAAGAAUAGUUCAGCUGCCGAAUACGUUGAUUUAUCCUCAAUAUCGCAACUUCCAUUCCAAAUGUUCUCUUACCGGCUAGGGGAGAAGGAAAAGACUAGCCCGGACAUCGUGAGGGUUAGGAGUCUGGAUUCCUUAAGUGAUACAGCAUCAGCGAUUUGCAAGCAAGAAUCUCCGAACGGCAAAGUUGACAUUGUGUCCAUUGCAGAAGAUCCAUUCGUACCACUAAGCGACUCGAGGUCCGUUUGCUCUGAUGUGAGGUCUGUUUAUGAUCUGAGGUCAGUUUGUUCCGAGGCUCCGAUGAAGAGAACUCUCACUGCCAAGAAACAUCAAGACGCGACAGCUAGAAAAGCCUCAGGUCAGCCACUAAUUUCACCUUAAUCCAUUUCUGUACGAUCAGCUGAUUACAUUUUUAAGCUCAGGGGCUUCUGUACUUUCUCCGUUAACAAUCUUGACUGGGAAAAUGUUGAUCAGGUUACACCAGGACAUCAAAAACACCAACCACACCAAGGACGUCAACACCAAGACUUGCGUCGCCAAGAUUUCCACCGCCAAAACUUGCUUCACCGAAACUUCUGCCUGCAAAACCAUGUCAACACAGUAUGAAGACAAACCAAAGCCCUCCACUGCCGAGUCCUACGAGCACAAAGAGUAGUGCGAGCCGAAGCAGGCACAGAAUGAGGGGGCACGUUUCGGACUCGGAGAUACAUUAGGCUUUCUUUUGUUUCACAUCAUAUAUAUACAUAUAGUCAAGUACAGAUCAGUUUUUGUUCCCUUCCAUUUAACUAGAAAUCUCUGUAAAUUUAAUCUUCUUACUGUUAUAGGUCCAUUAGGCUUGAACAUCUUAUAGUAAAGUUUUUCGUUUUCAGUUUUUAUGUUCUUGCAGGGCAUUUAUGUGAACGUAAUUCCACAGAUCGUCUUUCAUGCAACUUGUUCUCUAUUUAUUUCUCUUUUUGUACACUCAUGUUUAUUUCCUAUUCCGCUUUGAUUUAUUCUCUCAAAAACCAGAAAUAAACAAGGGUGUGAAGGGGAAAAAGGGUCGUGCAGAAAUCAUCACAUGAAGAAUGUGGUUUCUAAUUCAAGUUACAAUUCAGCGUACAUAGAUGCAAGAUAAAAUUAAAAGGACACGAUCCAUACCUUUAUCAAGAUGUUUGGCUAUGGUUGACAGAUGACAUAAAUUUAAACUGCAAGAUAAAAUCGCGCAAUCGCAUAUGAGAUGCAAACUCAAUUCUGUGGUCUCCCAAAAACGACUGUCCUACAAAUCUGGUCACCGAGAGUUCACGAUAGAUGAACCCUAUUUUCUACACUCUACUGAAAACAACUCAACUGAGAUCGUCUUCGUUGGAAGUGUUACAAAUGCUUUUCGGAUGUUUUUCUCAACAAGCAGCUAUGACUCUAAAUGAAUAGCGUAAUAUUGAACAUAGAUUCUGACCUAAAUAGCUGACCACAUUAUGUGAUAGCUAGUGUGAAAAUGAUUGACCAAGCUGUUCCAAGAAUAUAUGUUAAUCUGCAACCUGCUUCCCCUGAUUUCACAUUCGGUCAAAAUUUAAAAUUUUUGAAGCUGAGUACCCCAAACAAAUCCUCAAGUCUCCUUUAUUCAUUGCAAUACGACACUGUUUAAACCUUGUCAGCUCUCGUGCUGGUAUGACAAUCUUCAGAUUUGAGGAUUCAAAAUGUUUUCAUAAUCAGCUGAUGUCCAUCAGAUACUAUAUUUUGCAGCUAAUUUGUACAACAUCAGUCAUUCAGUCGUUUUGGCACCUAUCAAACAAGGAUGUGGCUAGAACCCAAGGUUUCUCCGUUCCAUCUUACUUUCUAAGGUUUCUCCGCAUGAACUUACAGUUUCCACUUUAUAGUUGGCCACCAGAAGAAAACUCAAGAAGGUUUCAAAAGGAUAAUGACUUCUUAAUUGAUGUGAAAGGAGUUACCUUUUCCUUAAACAAUCUGCAACACUUUUAUACACCCGUCUGAAUUGGCAGCAACCACCAUGUCUGAUUUCCCUCUCCAGCAGACACUCGAAACCCAUUGUGCACUAUAAUCAUUGGUCUCCUUUCCAGAAAUAGGAUCAAUGGAGCCAAACUUGUGUGAAGUGAUCGGCAUAGGCAGAGAUCUAUGGUAAGCAUAAACCUGGAAGAUAUCAACACAAAAGGUUAAAGUAGUUGAUUAUAUUAUGAUUAGACUGUAUAUCUCGCACAAGCACUGUCUAGAAGUUACUAGCUCACCUUCAAUAUUUCCUUUUACCUGUUUUUAUUUUUGGUUUAAUAUUUCCCUAUAACUCAACUAGAAGCCCAUUCGUUCUUCAUUUUAUUAAUACAAGUACCAUGUAGCAUGGGAAUUAAAUAUGCACCUCAUUUGUUUCUGAACCACAAGCUAUGUAAUCAUCUGAAACGGAUAACCCGACAAAGUUCUGGGGGAGUAAGCAUCCAAAGUGUGACCAACCGAGAAAAAGAAACAUAAACUUGGUCAGACAGUUACAAUGUAGUUAGAGCAAGUGUUAUCUAGAUCUCAAAAUCGCACAGAAAUAAAAAUAGGUUCUAGCAUAAAGAGCCAAUAAAAAAAUUAGUGGGGUAGCCAACCUUCUCAUUGGUGUGCCCACCAAGGCUUAGGCUGCAAGCAUCGGUGGAUGUAUCACUCAUACUGGUUUUGCUAAGAUCCCAUAGCUUUAAUGUGUUGUCAGUGGAUGCAGAAACAAGGGUCUCUGAGUCCAAAAAUUUCACAUAGCUUACAGCUUUCUUAUGCCCAUCCAAUACGCACCACGGAAUUUUAGUAUUACGGAGAUCAUAGCAGUAGGUGUAGUAGUCCGCACUCCCGAAGGCCAGCAAAUGAGAGGAGUGAGAAGAGAACUGUACACAGCAUACAUUUGCAGCGUGCUUGAUGGUAUCUAAACUGUUUCUCUGAAAGAACCAUCCCCAAAAAAAGGGAUUUCAGAAGCAUCACAGAAAAUCUUAAGUAGUAAUCAGUACCAAAAUGAAGAAGUUCCAAAGUGAAACACAAAUAUGUCUGGCAUCAUUUGGCCACAAUACCUUUACGGAGAUAGUGCUAAAUUUUGACCACCAAAAGCCCCAUCAGCACUUGUGAUGAGGCACUGAUGCAGAUAAUAUGGAAACAUUUUAUUGGGGUUAGUUAUGUCAAUUGAGGAUAUCAUAUUGUACUUUAACUUUGGAAUUUUUAUAUUGUGUCGGCCUUGCUUGAUUGUAAUUGAGAUUUAUUAACUAUUAGGAGUUGUCUUCCCCUAACUACAGUUUCCGUAUUAGCUGGGUUUGGACUGCCUAUCAUAUAAUACGCCUUAUUGUUAUUGACAAUCCGAACCCAGUUACAAAUAAAGCUAAUGAGAAAACCCCGAUAAUAAUGAAAAUCAAAUCCUAGCUAAAAAAAUCCCAACAAAAAUUAAGCAAGGCCUACAUAACACAAAUGUAAGACAUAAAACCUAAUGUGAAAUCCCAAAAUGCAGAAAUGUAUAAAAAUGUCCACGUUAUCUGGCCGUUCUCUUAAGGGUUUCUCAAAUAUGCUGAAUUACUUUCGAUCAGCAAGAUUUGUAGAUCAGCAGCAAACAUAACUCAUUUAAAUAAGAAUCAUAAGAAAUCAAAGAGUUUCUUGAAUAGUAAAUUUGCAUCUUAAAGUGAGCAAAUCCUAUGAUUUAUAUACAAUGGAAAAAGACAGAAACACACACACAAAAUAGUAAAUUUGAGUCUUAAUAUGAGCAAAUCCUGUGGUUCAUGAGAGAGAGAGAGAGAGAGAGCAUGCCUCGUUGAUGCUCCACAAUUUCACACAACCAUCAUCACUCCCAGUGGCUAAUUUUGUAGGAUAUACUUGAGAAAAGUCUACAGACCAAGCCCUCAUUGCAUGCUCAGUGUAUUGAGCAAACUCUUGACCAGUGCUGGCAUCCCAUAACUGGAUAUCAAUAUAAGUAUAUAUUACGUUAUAUGCAAUGCAAGUAUUAAUUAAAAAUAAGGGCAAGCAAUAGUCACUUAUUAGACAAUAUAUUGGGGAAAAAUGAGCCACGAACAAAUCCAUGAGAAAAGACAUGGAUAGACAAAGCUUAAAUAGUCAUAGAUCUCUAUUAGACUACUUCUGUGACACAUAUAUCAAAAGGAUGAACAUGCAGAUGCUAUCAGGUCAACAUUCAGACAGCAAUAUUUUUUUUCGGGUGAGGAUCCCGGAGAUCCUCAAAUCACAUCCGUUCAUCACAUAGUGCGGUCAGAAAUUAUUGUAAUUUUUUUUAUUUAAAAUUGAAUAUAAACAGUACCUGACCAAAACUGGACGCAUGAUGUACGAUGAACGAAUGUGAUUGGAGGAUCCCCGGGAUCUUCACAAAGAGGAUCCGGCGAGGAUCCUUUCUCUUUUUUUUCAGUAACACAAAACAGUCAAUAUGUCACAGGAUAUACAGACCUUGAUUACACCAUCAUAAUCAGAUGAAGCCAGAUAGUUUUUUAUAUAGUUGUUCCAGCAAACACAGCUGAUCCUUGAUUUGUUUGACAUCUCAAUCACUGGAUAAUGAAUAUCAGCAGGAUUGUUGAAGAAAGCAUUAAACUCAAAAAUCUUGAUUUUCAUUGAAACCCCGGCAGUAGCAAAAUAGUCUUCAUCCCGAUCAAAACUCAUAGAGGAAAUUACUUUAGAGGAACUGCUGAAAUCUCCAUUUCUUAGUAUACCACGUACUUCAAACUUACUAUACCGAGCAUAUUUACACAAACCAUCAAAGAUGGCUCCCGGUCGAUCAGUGCAUAUCUCCUUGUCUUCAUCCUUUGUUCCCACAUACCAAUUAUUGCGAGUUCUUAAUAAAUCUUUAUCGCUGCGUAUUCUAGAAUCCGUCUCAGGAAUCUGAAUUCUUGAUCUCAUCAAGAAGUAAGCACUCUCAAACUGAUCUAUAUUUUUCAUCAACCUCGACUCAUUUGAACUAAGAACAGGAAAUAAUGGAGAAAGCACCUCUGACCUUGAAUCUUCUUUGCUAAUGAACAUAUUUUUCCUUAAGGAUUCACCGUACAAGCCACAAUCAAUCAAGGGUUUUCUUGCAGAGUGCCUCCUCUCCACUUCUUCAACAUCUGCUUCUAAGAACUGAACUGUUUCCAACAAAGUUGCAUCAUGGUUCUGCAUCUGUUCUUUCAAAGAAGUGAGGAAAUGCAAUAAUAAAUCCAAUUCUGCGUCCUCUUGUUCCACAGAAGGUGACAAUUCUUUUACACAAACCUCCUGUAACCCGUUAAGUACUUCAGAUUGUAGAAUUUGCCUGUCAUAACCAAUGAUCGCGUCACCCAAAAAAAAAAACAAUGAUCAUAAACUCAGAAGUCAGGAUAGUGCAUCAGACUACACAUUGAGGUUCCAUUUUAAAUUUUCUUAUAUAUUUUUUUUUGGAUGUGAUCAAAGUGAUUACAGACCUAAUACAACUUUCAUCCAGUACAGGUUACACUUAAGUAUUCACUAAAGGAGCCUGAGGGCACUUCAGAAGGGUAUUGAGAGACUGAACAAUAAAAUCAAACUCUAAUCAUUUGUACAUCCAAAACAAACCUGGAAGAUCAUUGAUGAAAAAUGAAAAAUUGAAGGAUGAUGAGGUUAACAUACAAAGCUUCAAGCCUUCAGUACAUGAUGAUUAUUAUUUUCCUAAAAAAUAAAAAGCAUUAUCCAAUAUCCACAAGUUUCUAUCGACCAUUGAAAAAUUUCUUGAAAAAAAUAAUCCUCCACGUGAACCAGGUUUAUUUCAAUUGUAAUUCAAGGUAAUAUUAAUUAACUAUAAUAGUGGAGCCCUAGAACAUGGUAUGGGAAUAGGAUUUUUAAAUUCAGGUUUCACAUACUAUUUAUGGUCUUCAAUUUUCUCCAAUUGCAUUUCAAUCUCAUUGGGUUUUUCUAUGUAUUAAUAAACAUGUAUAACACCUAUUUGGACCAUCCUUGACACCACGACUUAUGGUUCAAUCAACUAAUAUCUACAAGAUAUCUUUUAUGGAACAAAUAUUCUAAAUAUUACUCCCUUCCAAUAUUACCUUCAAAACUGUUUACUUAACACUCAUAGAUUCAAAAUUUCCGUACCCUAUGUCAACUAAAAUGUUAUGAACUCACAUGACAACGGUUCAGGACUACCUUGUCGUUGGGCGUGAAGAUGGUUCAGGAUGAAGAAGCCAAAUAAUAAAUCCAGCCUCCAUAGCAUUUUCUGACAGAAAUUUUGGGGGAAGAAUUCUGUAGCACAGGUUGGACAUUGCUGCAGCAAGGGCGCUAUUUGAGUCAAAAUGAGCAAGUAACUGAAAGCAAAGACCCAAAUUAAUCCAUCAGAUUUUUCAUUCAACUCGGAGAAGAAAUAUAAUGUGUCAAAUGCAGAAACAUUAAUCAAUUUGCACCUCGAAAAGAAGAACACCAAGAUCAUAGACAUUUGAUAAAACUGUGUAACUUCCUUCACUGAGUUCCUCAGGACUAAUAUACCACUUCUCUUCCAAUAGCUCAUUUAUUGAAGUAAACUGCUGAGUUGCAUAAUGCAUAUGAGGACUGGUGAACAUGGUACGUAUCUCAUGCCUUAUUCUUGGAUGUUGUUCACCAAAUGCAUCACUUUUGUUCUGCAAACCAGUGAUGUUGAUGUGGCUGUUAUUCACAUUAUCAUGCAUGAAGUAGGAAGUGGUAGAGAACUGGGGCCAUUGCAAUCUAGUAUUCUCACUGACCCUUUGCUUUUUCCUUACUGGACUAUUUUCUAAAAGAGAUAUAUCUCUCUUCUUCGUACUCUCAAGCAUCUCGCUUGGGACUGGUAAGCCAACAUACUUAACCUGAUUUGAAGGUAACAACUUGAAGAAAGAAGGUCGCAAUCCAGGCAAAGCAACUCCUUUAGAAUGAAAAUUAUCCACCAGAUCCACUAUCUGUCUAAAUAUAUACAAGCAUUCAGCUUUAUUCGCUUUAGGACGUCCAGUAUUCAGCCAUUCUCUCAAACUGUUUUCAUCAUGAUAAGAGCCACCAGCCGUACGUCCAGCAUUAACACCAUUGGAAGAAGGCAUAAUAACAUUGGCAUCCAUACUCAUUGUUGGAUCAGAAGCUGCCAAAGGAUCACCGGCCACCUUUGAACUAUUCAGGUUUCUAGAUUCAAUGUGACAAUUCUCAUGGUUCAGACCCUUCAUUAUGACACCCUUACCCUUCAGUGUAUUCUUAACAAAGAACUCGGAAAAGCCUGGCCUAGAUAGAAUUUUUGUUCGGAUACCUGCAUAAGUAUUGCCUGAAGCCCCUGUAUUUUCAAUGUUUGUUAAUUCUUCCACAACAUCAUAGUGAUUGUCACUUAAUGCCCUUUGAUUCCAAAAACCGGAGACAGAUGUGGACCCCUCAUUCUCCAAGCCACCAGAAAUUGCCUUCCCAUUAUCCUUGAAUGCAGUAUUGACUUGUGAACUCUCACUUCCUGAUCCACUUGCUAGCUGAAAUAAAUGUUGUUGUGGGUUCUGCCAAAAUUGCAUUCUUCCUUGAUUGUUGUAAUUUCUCACAGUUGGCUCUUCCUCCAUGGAACCAACAUCAUUCAUAGAGCCAAGGCUACCAUAUGGGUGUUCUAAUUCGUUAACAGGGCUCAUAGCCAUAUCUACAUUCUCUACAAACUCAUGCCGCGAGCUUAAGGGAUAAUCACCCUCAACUGGUAUACGCAUCGAAUAAUCACAUUCACCAUAUGUACACAUUUCUUGGCAUUCCAAUGGGUUGCCGUUUUCAGAUUUAACUGAGUGCUCAUUCUCUUUCCUCUCACGUUGUACAACCUCUGCUAAAUCUAAUGGGGUCACUUCCUCAUCCACUGCAUCCUCCAUAAUGUCUAAACUGAUUUCAUUCAACAAAAAUCUUCAAGGCCAAUAAGGGGAUUUGUUCGCUGAGAGACCGUGUGCAAGUACCUAAAUCAUUCCGCAAAGAGUGAUAAAAACUGUAAGACUAUAAGAAAGGCAAAAGCAAUAGCAUGCAACCACCGCUUCACAAUGAUACUUAGAUAUAGUUCCAGUCAAUCUGAACUGAAAUUCAAGAUCAAUUCAUCAACCUUCAAACGUCUUCCGAAUUUUAUGUACACAUAAAAACAUAAAAAACAGAACAAAGAGAACCAAAGUUGAUCAAAAUUCUUCAUGUACACAGUACAACAUGUUAACAACAGCAAUACCUACUUAAUUACAAACACUUGAUGCACAAGUUAAUUACACAAAUACAUAAACUAAUCAAAAUUACAGGAAAUUUAGUAAUUUUCAAAAAAAAAAAAAAAAAACAGAGAAAUUCAAGUCUCACCUAAGACUAACAAGUAAUAACCAAUAACUCAGCUAACAAGUAUCAACUUAUCCCACCUCCAACAUUUCUAUCUCCAAAUUUUCUCGGCAGCCAAACAGAAAGUACAAUUGAAACUCAAAAUCCAAAAUCCCAGCAAUUAAUGCACACACACUCACCUGAAUUGGAGCUUCCAUGCCAAACCGCGAAACGCCGACGGCUCAGUUCUCCGAAGCAGGAAGAAUCAGAAAGAGGCAAAAAUUGGAGCUCAAAAACCCUAAGGAGAGAGCCAAAGCUGAAGAACAACUGAAGAGAGAAUCAAAACCCAAAGCAUGAAAGUAUUUCCUUUUUUUAUGCCAGAAAUGGAAAAUAUCAUCGCCUUCGCUAUUUGCCGACAAUUUUCUCGCUUUGUUAUUUUCUUUUUCUGCAAAAAAAUUUCAGGUUUUACGAAAUUAAUUUUCCAAAACUCCUUGUGCACAAAAAAUGGAAAAUGGGGUUACAUUCUUGUUUGUUUUUGGGGAGUUUUAAUAAACACUUCUGUUGUUGUCUACUUUUUACGUAAAGGGUAUUUUUAUUCUAAAAAAUCAUUCAUGGUAUUAUUAAUUUACAAUACAUUUUUGCUCUUUUGAUUAAAACUCAAAGUUUUCAAGUCAUUUUCAUUAAUUUUCCCAACGAAACACUCAUAAUACGGUUUACUUUUAACAUUAAAGAUAUUUUUAUUCUAAAAAGUCAUUUUGAUACUAUUCACGUAUUUUUAUGACAAUUUUUAAUUUUUAAUAAAAAGUAACGGCAUAAAUAGAACUGUUGCUGUUAGCUGGACCAGCAAGCCCAUUUGGUCUUACAUGCGAAUGUUUUUUAUUAUUAUUUAUUUAUUUAUCGAAUUCGUGUGAAUGGUUGAAAUUUGAUCUUACGUGCGAAUGCAUCUUGCACCCUAAGUCACGAGUUCAAUUUUCUUCUUUCUCAAUAUCAUUUUAUUAAGAAAAAAAUAAGAAGAUAAAAGUGCAGCUUAUGGAUCAAACUAGUAAUGUUAGGAAAACUAAAUUUUUAAAUCAAAUUAUGUAGUUGUUGAUGGUUAGAUUAUUACUCAAGUGUUGAUUAACAUAUUUAUUUCCUAUUAAUGACACAUUAUCUAUUUGCAAAUUUGGUUUAAAAUUUUAAUUUUCCUAACAUUAUUUUGUACAAAAACUGUCACAACCCAUCCCGAAAGAUAUUCUCUUAUCCAAACAUAAUGUUAAGUUCUUUUUACCAAUAAACAUAGUGUUCAGCUCGUCAUACCAAUAUUUUUUGUUGUUAUUGCAAAUUCUCUUUUAAUAAUGUGGAAAGCUAAAUUCAUAAAUCUUAAGGCUAAAAAGAGAACUAUAAUAUGCUAUUCUUAAUUGAUUAGUGAGUAUUAUUGAUGGUGCACAAGUCCUUGCUUGUUCGGCGUUCUACCAACUUAGUAGUACAUAAAUCAGCCAAGUUGGCUUUGAUUUGGUUUCUCAUUAGUUUGAUAUGUAAUGUUCUCUUGAAUGAUUGCAUGACUCUUUUGUCCAAUUAAAAGGAUAUUUAUAACAUUUUUACCUGUGAUUUAAACAUUUUUAUUCAAAUUUAAUGAAUGAAUUUCUAUUGUUCAGCAAAAAAGACAAGAUUAAGUACUCAAAACCCCCUAACUUUUUAGUGUCAUUGCAAAUUAAUUUCAAUUUUUUUUAACAUUCCAAAAAAGUACUCAACCGAUUAAAAAUAUCACAUUCGUUAAGCCCCAGUUAAUUUUUCAAGCAUAGAUUAUAUUCAAACCCGCUAAUUGGGUAUAUCAGGGAGAAUAUUAAAAUUAGUUGCCUCAAAAUCUAAAUUUUAAACAUAGAUUAUAUAAUAUGGAAUCAAAUGAUCAAACAAGUGUUGAAUUGAAUAGAAGAUGGACUUAAAUUGAAAUUACAUUAUGAGAGCAAUCUCUUAACAUAGAAGAGGGUUAAGAAUUCGGAUGGGUUUCAAGAAGCUUGUUUUUGCAUAUGUGAUUUCCUGUUUCGUUGAUUCUCGACUCGUAAAACUUCUAGUUCUUCUUUGGGGGCGAUGAAGAUGAUUGUAGCCGCAUCAUGGCAGUCUAUACUAUUUCAGCAACCUCCAUGACCUUCUUCUGAUGUUGGCAGCUUAAGUUGUAGAGUGAAGUCGGUGGUUUUGCGUUAGGUUUGGAGGUGAUGGCCUAAUGGGAGUGGUGGAACUGUUAGUUGGAGGAGGCAAAUGCGUCCCUUGCCUUCAAUUCAUUUUAUAAACAAAAUAAGCCUAGUUAAUCUAAUAGAUUUUUAACUGGGGCUUAACGGAUGUGACAUUUUCAAUAUGUUGGAGACUUAUUUAGAAUAUUUAAAAAGGUUAAAACCAAUUUAGAAUGACAUUAAAAGGUUAAUCCAAAAAAAUAUGUUUAACAAAUUAGUUAGGUAAGUUGGGUAAAGUAUUACAUGUGCAUUAGAACUAAUAUGUUGAACAAAUUAGUUAGGUAAGUUGGGUAAAGUAUUACAUGUGCAUUAGAAUUGUUAGUUCGUUUCCUUUCUUGUAAUAAUGCAUAUUUUCCUCAUGUUAAUAUAAAAUUAGAUCUUUUUGUACGAGAUUGCUUCAUGGAUGGUAGAAAAGCUCUUGAACAUGCAUAGAAAUCUCGAUUUGUCAAACUAUAGCUAGACUCGCUUUAAAUGAUGUGAUGAUGCUGGUUUCUUUUCAUUGUUUAUGAUUCUAAAUCAUUCUCUACUCAAAAGAUAACUCGUUGUAAUAUUUUAAAAGACAAAAUUAUACCACGAAUAUGAAAAAUAAAUUGAAAAAAAGAAAAGAAAAAUGUAUUACAAAAUAGGUAUUCAUAAAUGGAUUAAGUCUAUAUUGGUGUUUAGUUUGAUCCAGGGGCCAAAAAUACUUUGCCAUCUCAUAUGAUAUCAAGAAUGUAUGAAGAUGGAGAUUUGUCCAUCAUUAAUGUUUGGUCAACUACCUCCUAUAUUCUAGAAAUAACAUAAUUAUAUGAAGAAAAUUUUGAUAAGAAGCUUCAGAUUUAGAGUGACGUCAUUUCAAUAAAGCAUUUCUGAUAAAAAAAAAACUUAUUAUAAACAUGUUAGAAACCUUUAUUGAAACUUCAAAGCACUUGAUGUUAAUUUAGAAAUCGCUUUUAUAACAUAAAAGCAUUUUUAAAUGCAUUUGCCAUAUUGUUUUUCCUAAGAUCAUCUUCAAUUCAUUAAACUAAGAUUCAUCUCGUGUAAUCAGAGAAUGAUGAAACAUUUUUUAGAUGCCAAAUAUACCUUCCAAAGCAAUGUUGGCAGUUAAUUACCACUUUUUCACUAAAAAGUUAAUUCGACAAUUUCUUUCUUUUUUUUUUAUAAAUUUUUUGUGUCAUUAAUUUUAUUCAACGAAUCAUUUUAAUCAAAUCAAUUCCUAACAAUACUAUAGUCGCAUUUUGUUAAAUCAUGUGGGACCCCAAAAUUUAACUUAGACACUUUGUUCUUAUCAUUAUGAUUAACAUUUUCGAUUUGUGUUCUUAAAAAAAAAGAUUUUAGGUUAAAUUCUGGUAAAAAAUAAAGAAUUUAAACAACAUUAUUGUUAGUGCAUUGUGAAGCUUAACUCAUUCUCAUUAAGUUAUAUCAUGUGUUAAAAAAUAAAAAAGAGGUGGUGGGAGGCAGAGAGAAGUGGGUGGCGCUCCAAGGGGCACGUUGGUCCAAAGACCAACAUAUGGGCUGCUGCAUGUGCCACCCAACAUGUUAUCACGGUUAAAUCACGUGCCCCAUCAUGGGGACAAUGCCGCUAGUAACCAUUCGGUUUGUUCAUGCCAUGUCAUCGACCAUUGUCGGCUACAUGUGCUGGAGCUACGAGCACAAAUUCAUGGGUUGUUUUGGGCUUGAAAGGCCCUAAUACCAUAUACUUGGAUGAGAAGCAAUCCCAUGGUGCCCCCAGCUGUCCUGGCCCGGGUGGGUACCCCAUUCUGUCGUACUAGGUAUCGCAUUGAGAGAAACUCAGGUAGCUCUCCCAUCAACCAAGACCAAAUGCAAAGGAUCUCGAGCUUUUGUGAGAGGUAUGUACAUAUAACGUGGUUAGGCGAUUCUACCCAAGUUUUUCAGGUACUUGACCUACAUUCGCUACCUAUUUCAAACAUCAUCAGGUAGCAAAUAUGACAACGUAAAAAAUUUGGUGUAAGAGAAUGAAAUUGUAACUUGCAAACAAGGUUCUAAAAGACGCUAGUCACUAGUCGGGCGGCAAGCUGGGGCCUAAUGAUUAGGCAGCUAGGCGGAUUUAAGUAAAUCUAUUAUAUUUCGUGUAAAUAAGUGUCUGUUUCUACUUAAAAUAUAUAUAAUUUCAUUCUAAACUACAAAAUAGAAUGACAUAUAUAUUAGGAAGUAUUGGAACAUAAUUAAAACAUGGGAAACAUGCAUAUAAUGUGUAUUCAUUUAAGCAUUCAACAAGUCUCUUACAAUUUAUUGAAAAAAAAUAAAAUACAAAAUGAAAGUUAUCUAUUUUUUGUUUAAGUGAGUCGCAACUUAGGCAGUCUAGGCGGGUGCCUCAGUAGCUCUAGGCACCCUUUCUUAAUUUUCAAACGCUUAGGCAUUAAUCGGGGCAAUGGCCAACCGCCUAGCACCUAGACAGUGCUAAGCGGGGAUGUUUAGAACAAUGCUUGCUAACAAAACCUGUUAAUUUUACUUCUUCAAAAAAAAAAAAAAAAACCUGUUAAUUUUACAUUUGUGAGAAAACAAUCAAAUGCAUGGUGGUCUUAAAAUUUCAACCCUAAAGAAGAAAAUAAGAAUAGCAGAAGCUUCAGAUUCCAAUGUACUAGGUUGGAUAGGUAGUAGAUCAUCUGCUGUUUCUUCUAUCAUAUUAUCAUUCUAUCUGUAUAACUUGUAUCCCAAGAAACAAAUCAAAGGCUUCAGGUCAAAUCUGAAUCACAUCUCAUAAGUUUCAAGUUUCAACCAUCUCAAACAUUAUCUUUGAAUGGGAUGAUCAAAAACGAAAACAAGCUAAACCACAUAUAGAAAGCAUGCAAUAGGAAUUCUUCAGUCCAAACACCCGUAUAUCGACUCCACACAAGGGGGCGGGACCAAAAUAAUGGGGUGUGGGGCGUUUUGUGUGCGGUUGGACGCCACGUGGUCUGUCAUCCGCAACCAAGACUUUCUCCAUGUAAUAGGGCAGUAAAUUAAAGAAAAGGCUAUUAACUCACAAGUUACAUUCUCAAUUUAUUCUUCUUACCCUUGAUAUCAAAUCAAAUGGUGAGUGACCAUGAAUUCUCCAUGGUCAACUGAGAGAACAUUUUUGUAAUGAAAGAUACAAUGCUAGGAAGGUUCGAUGUCUUACUCAACAGAUACAAACAACAAGAGCAGCAACAAAGCAUUAUCCCACAAGAUAGGGUUUACUCAACAGAUAUACAACAACAACAACAACAAAACCUUUUCCCACUAAGUGGGGUCGGCUAUUACUCGACAGAUAUAACUCACAAAAAAGAAAAAAAAUUAUCCUUUGAUUUCAUUUUUCUUCCUCUACUCUCCUGUUCUUUUUUCCUCCUUGUUCAUUCUCAAACUCCGGAUGUGCCCUAUUUGUGGUGCUUUUCUCUGGACUUGUCAAGCACAAUUACUUCGGACAUGCCUCAAUUUGUAUGUUGUCUCUCAAUUGCAUUGCAGUGCAAGGACUCCCUUGAUUGAGCUGAUCUUUGAGAUCUUGAAUUUCCUUGAUCAUCUCCACCUUGUCUUUCCUCUCAGCUUCGAGACUUCUUUCCAACUUCUUCACGAAACACUUCAGAGAUCCAAGCAAUGAUUUCUGCUCGCCAAUUAAGAACUCGUAGCCCUCUUUCAGCUUUUUCUUCUCCUCUUUUUCUUCUUUUAGUUUUGUCUUCAAUUUUUUUGUUAUGUCCUUACUCUCUAUCUUUGCAUUUAUCCUAUUCAAUUUUCCUUGAGCUUCUGCAAGUCCAGCACUUGCAUUUUGAACCAUUUCCUCUCUAUCUUCAGAUCUUUUUUCCAAGCCCUCAUUGUUGUUCAACCUUUCUGAAAUAGUACGAACUGAGAGGAAUUUCGUUUGUGUCUUCUGAGCUCGAAAUUCACAUCCUGAUGAGGCCAGUGUAUCAUCUAAUAGAUUCUCCCCUUCUUCUCGAUCUUCUUGCCCAUCUAUCUUAGCUUCUUCGGGUGGCAUUUCCAUUUCUUUUUUGUUCUUCUCCUUAAAGCUCAGCUGGACAGGUGCAUUAUCCAAACAAAUAGGAUAUCAGCAUCUACAAGUAAUUCCUAGCAAUAGUAUACCGAUUCCAACUACAAUGUAUUCUAUACCUAGUGUUACGUAAAUGCUAAAAUAUAAUAACUAUACACUUCCCCAAUCUCUUCGACGUCUAUUUGUUCCAGUUUGAAGUGUAGUUCCCAAGUGUUCCAUUUUACUAGAGCCGGUUUCUGUCCCUCCCUUCCACUGAUUGGUUGUAUGAGGUUAGUUCUCUCGCACAACCAAAGCUGUUAACAUGAAAAUAAAACGUAAUUACAAUCACUUAUGGAGGCACUAAUUACAUUAUAAAGUUACUAUACCACAAUUGUUACCGUUAUGACAGCCACACAUCCAGGAAGAGAAUAUCCCUCGGACCUCCUGGUCCGUUUUCCCAAUGAUUCGUGUAGAAGGUCCGCCACUGCUUUUGCCCAUGAAUAUCUUGAAAGAUUUUCUAAAUCUUCACAAUACUCGACUAAAUUCCAUGAGACGACUUGGUUUGUGUUACACAAUAAGAAGGUAGCGCAAAGUUCUGUUAGAAUCAGGCGUGCAACAUCCUCUGCAUCUGUUUCUCUCUUCCCUUUUAUUGCUGCUUCCAAGGCAUUAUCCACCAACUUCUCGUACAAUAUUGUUUCUUCCUCGAAACACCUUUUGGUAAAAUCUGAUAUGUGUUUCGUUGUUCCUUUUAAUUGUACUUCUUGACCUUCCCGUGGAAGCCCCAAAAUUUCAGCAACGUCUUCAGUUGUCAACGAUGCAGAUGUAGUACCAAACUCAAAACUCAUUGUUUCGGCGUUGUAGCACUUCAUGAUGUUUCCAAUGCCAGCUUUCGAUUUCUUGCAUUGGUCUUCAGAAAUCAGACCAUUAUAGAAUGCCGAUAUUAACGGCCGAAAUGGAGUUUGUUGAAGCAACUCCAAAUGCUCUUCAGUCAAGUGUUCCUUAACUCGCUGCAUCGGAUUAAAAAAUGAUAUCAUAUUACAGCGGUAUCGCACCUGAUCUCCUCUUACCCUCGUCCAACUUCCCAUAUUCCUCUUUUCCAUUUUCUUGUUUUCCAUGUUCUUGUUCUUCAUCUUAUUUGGGUCCCGGUCUGUAACCUAUAUAUAUAUAUAUAUAUAUAGAUGUGCAUUACAAGCACGUAGUUUUAACACAAGAAAGUCAAAGUAUAUUUUAACUCUUCUUUCUUAAGGAUCCGUAAGGAAACAAAAUAGACAAAUACAAUAUUUCAGAAAAAUAAAUUGACAACCAUUUGAGUGAUAUAUAGUGUCCGAUUUUAGUUGCUUUUUGCAAUAGUGGUCAUUGAGGGACAACCUAAAAAUUAGACACCGGUUGAGAUAAUUGAAAUAUAAUAUAGGAUGAUCCCUAAAAAGUGUCCAGCAAAUAAAUUUUAUUCAGAUGAAUACCUCAUAGUGAAGCUACAUAUAUGUCGAAAUUUAAAAUUGGGUUUACGUUUUACACCAUCGAGGUUUGGGGGUAAUUUCAAAACGAGCUAUGAGGUUCUAAUUUUUCACAUUACACCUCAACCCUUUUACAUUAGUCCAAUCUACACCUUUUGAUAGGUUUAUUAUCUAGUCAACCAUUAACUGCUCAUGUAUCCGGAGCACUCAUAUUGCAGACCCACUAACCGUGCCACCAGAAAACACAUUGAGGACAUUUUAGGGGUGGGUCCCUCACUUCCAAGUCAUUAGUGAAUGGUUGACCUAUUAUAAAAGGUGUAAGUUCGUUGAAUAUCAAAACAUCUGGUGUAUCAUGAAAAAAUUGGAGCCUCGUGACCUAUUGUGAAAUUAAUUCUAAAAUCCGAUGGUGUAAAACGUACUUAGCUCUUAAAAUUCCAACAUAUUUAUAUAGAAAUCAGACUACAAUCACAAAGGCAGAAUCAUCA